Molecule: long non-coding RNA, 85351 nt
Filed under: Prunus persica (peach)
Lineage: Eukaryota; Viridiplantae; Streptophyta; Magnoliopsida; Rosales; Rosaceae
Description: long non-coding RNA (PPER_LNC003776)
Source: RNAcentral
UCAAGAAGUGAGUAAAAGUGGAAGUCUUUUUCCCAGUGAUUGUUUCUUUUUACAACCCUUGUAUCAUUUCAUGUACUUGAUGGUUAAGGUGACCUAGCUACAAAAGAUGUAGGAAACCUCCAAUGACAACAAGGAACCACCUUCAUUAAAGUAGGAGCAUCUCGGGGACAGAGCUAGAAAUAGGAAAAUCAAGAUCCGAACAACAAGGCUAUACCUUCCCCAAUCACCUAAGGUAGGUCCUGCGCCAGCUGCCCGAGCUUCUCUACCGUCUUCUGUGAACCCAUAUGCAAUGGUCCCCGUGCCAGCAAUUAGAACACACCCAUGAAGUUUUCCCAAAGUCCCACAAGCUAGAGCUGCCACAGCAUCAUUCUGAACAUACAACCUUGCAUUGCUGGGGAAUACAUCCCUGUUCAUAUCAAGACAAGAUUAAAGCUUUUAGUACUAAACAUUAAUCUGAGAUUGAUAUGUGCCAAAACCAACAAGGGUCUGAUGAAAGCAAUAAAAAAUAAGCACCCAACAAGUAAAUAACUUUAAAAGUAAAAUAAAUAUUUAAAAAAAACACAUACAGGAACAAUGUGCGAUCAUAGAGACUUGAAAAUAAUACCUAAGCCAAUCUAAUAUCCUCUGCUGAUCAGUGGGAUGGUUGACACCAGAAACCGCCAAACAAACAGCUCGAACCGCCGACCGGUUCGAACCGGACUUAGCCAGCGCUUCAGCCAUCACCUGCUCCAAUGUAUCCCUUGCAGCAGCCUCUAAGGUUUAUCAACAAGUUAUUCAAUUAGAUCAGAUACAAAAAUCGAAACAGUUGCGAUCAACUGACGAACCAUGAACAGAAGAACAAUUACCGCCAACGCUGUUGUGGUUGGUGCAACCGGCGACUGCUCGAGCAAGAACGGGAACUGGGUCGGGGAGAGGAUCGGAGAAGGGCAAAAUCGGCAUGCAAAUGCAGACGGUGGAGGUGGUGCCGCCGUCUAAACCCAAGAUGACGUCUCCGGCGCCGGCGGCCACCGGCAUUUGGUUCUCAAAGUCCCAGACUUCGCCAUUCCUGUACCGCUUCAUCUGGGUUUUUGGUGGUGAUUGGAUUGAAUUGGAUUUGAGUGUUUGUUUUGACGAAUCAGAGCUUUAAAAGGCUCCAAUGGAGGCGUGCUCUCUCUGUCAAAGACACAUACGGAUAAUAGGAAGAGAACAAGGAAGAGGGUUGGGGGAGUCAGAUGUUUUUGGGACCGUGUUCAAAAGAAAAUAAUAUUCAUUUCAAAUGGUGGGGUUUUUUUUGUUUUGGUUCUCGGACGGCAAAAUGGGGGGCCAUAAAUAAAUUUAUAACUCAUAUGCUAAUGAUUAUUAUUUCUAAUUGAAGAUGCUUUAUGCAUAACUAGCUACUUGGCACAUGCAUGAUUUUUUUUUUUUUAAUUUAAAAAAAAAAAAUAUGGAUAGUUAUGUUCCAUAAAAAUAGAAUUUAUUAUUUAAUUUUACUUUUAUUUUUAUUUUUUUAAAUAUGAAAAAAUGUGAAUUUACCAUAUUAUUCUAAUUUAAUUAAUAAUUUUAAUUCUUAUUAUUUGAAUUAACCAAGAGCAUUUUUGGUAUUUUGAAUGUUUCACCAUUCUCUGUCUUUUGCUUUAUAUAUAUAGAUUCUGUUCUUUGAUGAUUUGGAAUUUUUUCUCAUAGAUUAUUUUCUUUACUUCUGUCAAAUUCUUUCAAAUAUUUUGUUAAAUUCUUUCAAAUAUGGUUUGGGACAGUUUAGUCGUAUCAUGGGUUGAUUAAAUUAUGGUUGUAUUUCUUUGCUUCCAUUAUCAUUUUGACGUUUUCAAUUUUUUAUUUUAAUGGCAUUCCAAACAUAAUUCACAAUAUCUAUUUAGAACUAAUCCCAUGGAAAGCUAAAAACAACCCUUGCAGCUAAAGCAAGAUGGUGCACUUGAAUUCACAUUUGCAAUCAACUAACCAAUUCAUGUACAUGUUGAACAGAAUUAUGUAUUGUUAAAGGUGUGGUAUGGAUAAGAAAGACUAUGCAAUCCUCCCAAACCAAAGUCCCAAGCUAAAAUACUGAUGACAGUUGCUCUGCUUCCAUUCUAGAAUGCAAGGCGUUGGCAAGUUGGGGAAAUGAGGGUUUUCCAACCAACGAUCAAGGUUCAAGCAGGAGGGCAUCGAUGUUCCGUUUUCCUUCUGGGCCCUUUGUGUACCAUGAUGACACAUAAUCUCCAUAAACAAUUUCCCGGUAGAGGGGAGGAGUUAACGCACUGGUAAGCUCAGAAGCAGGGGAUACUUUCACCGUCUUGGCUGGAUCAUGAAAUGUAGCAACUGAGAGCCGUGCCUGAUUGGAAUUGGUUAAAGCCCUAUGUUGAGCACUCCUGUACUUCCCAUUGGUCAUUAUCUGCAGGCAAGAUAAUCCACUGUUAGAGAAUAAACAUAAUUCACAUGAUUGCUCCACUUGUUCAAUUAAUUUCAUUCUACAAAACAAAUCCUAUGAAAGAAAACGCACUUGGAUCCAAAGAAUGACAAGAAUCCUGUAAAGCACAUGUUGGCGAUCCGAUUAUCAGCUUAGAGAGAAGACAUUGAUAGGUAUAAGCCUCAAGCACUGCAUUUUUUAGUUUCAGAUCGUCUCAGCUCAAGUCCACUAGGUACAAUCCAAAACUGAACCACUUAAAUCAGUACCUUUGAGUAUUGAUCCAAGGCCCCAACAGUGAAAGUCAGUUUCGUAGUGGUUGGAUUAAUUAGAGGUUCCUCUACAUGUCACAGUUAUUUGUGAUCUAAAUUAAAUCCAAUUAUUACGACAAAUCAGAAAGGACAAUGACCAAGCCUCAAUGUGUUCCAUGGGACCCAAACUUAAUAUCCCUAACCAAAUCAUAUAAGAACAAUGAAAAAACAUAGAAAAAUAAGUACAACUGAGGGUUGAUGUCAUGCCAAUGUCUAGAAAUAGUGGUUGUCAAUGACAUCAAACAAUUAGCAGCUUCAUUGAAGACAAAAUAAAGUGCUUAAAAAAAUUAUGGCUUAACCCUUGCACGAAGUGUAAAAGCAGGCCUAUGAUAUACAGUGUGACUCCUUAUAGACUGACAGAUUUUGCAACAUGUGAAAUUUUUAGUAUGUCAUGACCAACAGCAACUAAGAGCACAUAUACCAAGCAGUAGGUCUUAACUUGGUUGGCUACACAUACAGUCAACGUAGAGCCAUAUUAACCUAUGUUUAUUCUCAAACCAUUUGUCCUAAUUGACCAAGAAUGAACAAAAACCAAACCAAAGAAAACAAAAAUAAGGUUACUUGGUCAGCUUGUCCUCAGGUCCCCUCAAACGAAUACUAUAAUAACAGGCUGAAAAUCAAUACGUCAAGCAAAUAUAAAACAAAAACGAUCAGAAGCCUGGCCAAGACCGACAGAUAAGCACAACUACCCAGACAAAAACGUUGAUGUCUCUAGACAUAAUAGAACAUAUUGCUACCAGUACCACUUGAUUCAAUUCAAUAUCAUCGAGAAGCCUAAAAGCUAAAAGAAUACCAUGAAAUACACUCAUCACGAUUCAUCCACUGAGAGUUUCCUGGGAUUCAAGCAUAUUUUUAUCUGGAGAAAAUGUGAUUCGGCAAACUAUAAUUCCAAAGCAUCAUGGUAAUGGACUGAAUAUAUUUAAGAAGGCAUAAGCAUCAACUGACAACGACUCAGCUUCUCUUAUUAAUAAUAAAAUUAAAGAAGGCACAGUACAAGACACUUCUCCAUGCCUAUUUUAUUUCAGAAAAUCCUUCGAAUCUUUUAAUAGACUAAUACAAAGUCAUAACAAAGAAAGUUGAUCAUAGCAAUUUGACACUGUUCAAGAUAAGUUAAACUCACUGCAUUCUAAUUUCUACUGCCCUCCUUUCUUUCUCACCAAUUUAGCUCAUUUCUUUCUAAAAAUGAAAACUGCAAAUUUUUCAUAGUUUGGUCCGCUAAAAGAAGAAUACGAAGGUGUGUGUUUGAUGUUUGAUAGAUGAUGAGGUACCUCGGUUUGGUCAGCUAGAAGAACAACAAUGGCAUCACCACCCAAAGGCUUCACAGGAACCCACUCUCCGUCUUUAAGCACCUCAAGCCCACCCACCUCGUCCUGGACCAACAGCGUAAUCGCACCAAAAUCCGAAUGGGCCUGCAGGCCCAAAGUCAGCUCAGGCUGAGGACACGGUGGGUAAUAGCUGAUCGUAAUGUUCUGCCAAAACUCCCCAACCGCCUCCUCUAAACGCCGCGUUUCAAGCCCCAGGCUCUCGGACGCCAGCCCCAGCAGCUCUCGCGCCAGCGAAGCAAUUUGAUCGCUGUACUCGGAAACCACCUGGCGGUAAUCUGCGGGGAAAUGGGGCCAUCGCGUGGGGUUCCGGCGCCGGAGGGGGAGGGUGUGGUGAUCGAAGUAGUCCCUCCAGUCCAAAACGGUGUCGUCCUUCUCCAGCAUCCGGCUGCCGUAGCCCUCCGACGCCGACGAGCUCGGAUCGCACGCAUACUUGAGUUUGUCUUCGACUGAGCUGUCGUUGAAGAAGGUGAGGCCCGCGCGCUUGAUGGCGUCGACUAUGCUGGCAGGAACGCCGUGGUUGGUGACGUGGAAGGCGCCCCAGUCCCGGCAGGCUUGCCCAAUUGAGGCCCGAACUGAAUCACGUCGGGUCGGGUCGAGGCCGAAAAGGUUGAUGAGCGGAAUGUUGGUUGAAGAAGAAGGUCGAUUGGGUCGGUGCUGGGGAGGUUGAAUGUAUUGUGGCGGGACUUGGUUGAGGCCGGCUUGGGCUAAGCUUUGAACUCUGAUGGGCUCCGCUGAUAUUUCCAUUUCUAUCGAAUUGGAAUGAAUUUACAGAGAAAGAUACAGAGCGAUGUGAUGAUGAAGACGAUGAUACCGAUUUUAUAGUCCGGAGUUAUUCAAGCAUAUAAAAAACUGUGCUUUUUGUUAUUUCUUUCCCGGCAGAAAAUAAAUACGUUCAGUAAAGAAGCGCUGUAUUUACUGAUUAAUUAAAGUGAUUGGCAAAAUUUAUUUGGGUUACAAAAUUGAGCAACAUACGCUACGUCAGGAGAAAACUUACACAGCGAUGCUAAGUCAUUUCAAGCCUAUCAUGUAUUGUCAGUGUCGGUAGGGGCAAUCAAUGCGACGAUGGCCAAAUUUUAUUAUUUAUUUUUAAUAAAGAGUUAUAUUAUAUUAAUUAUAUAUUUUUUUAAUAUUUUAAAUAAAUUUUGAAAAAAAACAAGAAGCAAAAUGGGUGUUCUAACUCUUUUAAGCUCUAAUUGAUUGUAAAUUUGAAAAUUUUAAGCUUCUUGUUGUGGAGGGGGAUUUGAUUUCUCAAAUUCCAAGUUAUGUUGUUCUUUGUUUAUUAUUUGAAGUAUUAAAAUUUCAUUGGAUUUCUUUGUAAUGUUUCUAAUUUCAAGUAGCAAUGAUUCCUAAAAACAACAAUCUUGAAGUCAAAAAAGAAAAAGAAAUGAUUGAAUUGUUACAAGUAUUUAUCUUGUUUAUGCAUUAUAUUUGAAUGUCUCAAGCGUAUCCUCUUAUUUUAGAUUUUUAUAUAUUGAAAUUUCAGUUUAUAUAAUUUAUUUGACUUGAAUGUUAAAUUUUUAGUUAAAUUCAAAUAAGUUAAAUCUUGAUUGAAAACUGAGAGUGAGUCUAGCACUUCAAGAGAAAAAAAAAUUAUAUAUAGCUUAAGGGUCUACUUUUUUACAUUUGCCUUAGGUCCUGAAAAAUUCAAGACCAGCUAUGUGUAUUGUUAUGUCGAAAAGUUAAAACACAUAACAAUAGGCGAUUGGCUCGAAAUAGUGCCAUAAUGCUAUCCUGAUAUUGGUAAAAUUUUCUCACAUAUGAGAACUGUAAAGACCCAAACCUAAAAUUCACAUGUAAUUAGUAAUUUAUUAUGCGGAAAGACAAUUUUGCCCUUUGACUCACUUAUGAACUCAACGUUGACUUUUUGACCAAAAAGGAAUAUGACAAUUUCACAUACACCGUUGCGUAGAGCACGAUGACACGAGUUCAUAGACACGAAGUAAGCUCGAAUUGGAGUUUAACGAAGAAAAUACGAUUACAAUAUCACGAGGGGCAAAAUGGUAAAUUGGAAAAUCAGAUUUUAUAAAAUCUUUUCUCUCUCUCUCUUCCCCAUCAGUUUCUCUCUCCUCUCUCUCUCUCUCCCGCGCGCGACGUCCGUCGCCUCCUCCCUUCCCGUCACCACACCAGCCACCACAGGGCACGCCGAUCUCCGGCGUUGGUACCAGCAGCUUCGUCUCGCCGCCGCCGUCACGCCACGACCUGCCUCCACCCCUGCACCGGCUGGAGCUCGCCGGAAACUGGAGGAGAACCGCCGGUUUUAGGCAAAACUUCAUCUCCUUCGUUCUCUCUCAAUUCUCAACCAAAUCGUUCGAGUAAGGUAUGGAUUCUCACCUAUUUUUCAUGCUCUAGCUGAUGGUUGGAUAGGUUUUGAUCGAUUUCAGCCGUAGAUCACUCGAUUUUUGAAUUGAAAUUCGGCCGACUUUCGGCCUCCGUGUUCGGCCACUUCCGAUCAGUUUUUGGGGUAGGUCCAAGAAUAAAAGUGACUCCAAAUGGGGUGUUUUACCUAGGAUAGGAGUUUUGAGUCCUAGUUCCGCGAUUUUUCGACCACCCGAAAUUGCUUAAGACACCCAAAUCUUCCCGCGCGUGCUGGGGCGCGUGGGCGAGGGUGGUGAAGUAAUUUUGUACAGUUUUGUGACCCUUGUGUCGUCACGAGCGCGUAGGAUUUCGCGGAUCUCGAUUCGGAGUUCGUUUGAGCCCCGAACGGAUUUUUCAUAUCGCGCGAUCCUUGGGUGCAGUGUCGUCAAAUUGUUGGAUCACACUGAAUUUUGGAUAUGUCGGUCUACAUGAUUUCAGGAUCGUGUAGGAGUCGACGGAUUGCGAAUCGGAGUCCCGGAUACUCCGAAAUCGCGAACCCUAGGGCUAGGGUUUAGAAACUAUGCGAUUACACGGUCGUGAUUAAUCCGACCGUCCGAUUGACACCAAUACCCUCGGGACAUGUGUCCUAAAUAUAUUAGACCUUCUAGCGGCAUCCGGAUCAUAUUGUACCCGUGGGGUUCCAGAUUGACUUUUUGGACUUUAGCGCUUUUGAGUCCCAAGAUACCGCUAAACGAUCCCACGUGGAAGGAAAGCUGUUAUGGGCAUAGGGAUCACUUUAAAUUGACGCACGUACUUUUAGGAGCGGGGAUAGGGUUUUUAAUUUAAUACUAUAUUGUAUUAAUAGAAUAUUAUGGUCAUUGAAUCAGGCACCCGGGCACCAGUUGACCCGCAGGAGGGACCUUCAAGAGGUCCAGCGAGUUUGGACUAUCAGUGAGUGGACUCUUUGUUUUCAUAAAGGAAUUUAAGCAGUUCAAUUUCAGUUAUUAGCUGUUUUAUUCUGUUAAAUAUUUUAUGUUGCAUGCUGCCGAGUGACAUUUCUGUUAAAGACUAUAGAAACAGAUAUUCUUGUUCAUUAUCAGAUAAAUGGCAGCAAAAUUUUAAAGGUUACAGAAAGUUAAUUAUUCAACAGAUUUCCUUCAGAAACUUUAUAUUUUCUUAAAUCACCUUGUACCCAGUUAUUAAAUGUUGCCUUCGAUUUAUAGUGGUUGCCUUCGUUUAGUCAGCAUGCUUGACAGUUGCCCCACGAGUUCCUUGGUACUCGAACUCGUGUGGAGCGAGUAAUGCGGAUAAAGGUGGACUACGGUCCCCUGAAUCCUGCGAGUUGCGGCUCAGACUGACUUCGUGUCACUGAGACCUGCGAGUAUGUGUCACCCAUGGUGAUGCAAGGAAUUGACGGAUAUAAGGAAUUGACGGAAAUAAGGGUACACCAAGGUGAUAGUUUAAACUGUUUUCAAAUGUAUAGUUAUAUACAUGCAUUGAUUUCAGAAAUAAAGAAAAUAAGUUAGUUUGUAUAACUGUUUUUACAGUGGGGUUAGUAUGUUCAUAUAUUAUUUUCGAAGCUUUGUUUUGGGUCCACUCACCCUUCUUGUUGUUUUGCGCCCCCAGGCAGUAGACGUGCACAUGAAUCCAUCACCGGGCCACUUCCCAUCUUCCGUGCCUUUCUUUGAUGUAGGAUUUGUAUUUUGUACAACGAUUCACUCUUUUGUAAAUUCUUAGCAGUCGCUCUGAUGUUUUGCCCUAGAUUGAGUUUGAUCUCUUGGAAUGUAUAUAUACAUAUGCUGGCAGUUGGUUGUAUAUAUGUAUACUUGUUUGGCAUGUGUGAAUGUUUUGGUAUUGAGCCAGUUACAAGGGAAACUCUGCCGGUUUUUCGGUAGAAGUCAACCUUGUUAUUUUAUCGUGUUUUGUAUAGAAGGGCAAAUAGGUCUUUUGUGCCCGACAUUUGCCAAAUGUCGGACACGCACAGGGUCUGACUCGGAUUCCAAAGCGGAAUUUGGAUCGGUCCUGUCAAGAACUCAUAAUAACAUAAAGAACAAAAAAAAAAAAAAAACAUGCUUUUUGUACAAGAAUUGUAGUUGGUCUUCUUUGGUUUAUCAUUUGGACUUGGACACUCGUUUUUAUGUCAAAAAAAGGAAAAAGAUCCGGGUGAAGUAAUGUUAUGCAAGUAUGGAAUGCAGGGCUCAACUUUGGUGCCAAAAUUGACCUUAAAAAUUGACCAACAGUAAAAGACCAGGCCCCCACAGUAAAAUUUGAUGAUAAUACAGUGGGCUUGAACAAUCUGUGUAUCUGGGUUUGGUUUGACUGAGCACCUUAUCCCAAAUUCAUAUUCCCCUCUCUCAAUUCCUCUGUGAGAAAGACACAGCCUUUGAUUUGUACUUGAAAUUUUUUUUCCUCACAAAACCCACAAUGCCACCACCAGCCACUCUCUCAGCUUCAUCUUCCUUCACUCUCCUCUCUCCAUCUCCCUCCCCAAAACCAAAGUUCCCUUCUUUCUUCCCCAAAAGACACUCCUUCGCAAUCAACCCACGUCACCAUUCCCUCCACUCAGUUCCCUCCUCCACCGUCCGAUGCGCCGUCAUCGAGAAAGAAACCCCGGAGGCCCAGCGGCCCGACACCUUCCUCCGCGCCAACUCCUCGUCGUCCUCCGUGCGGGCCCGCUUCGAGAAGAUGAUAAGAGAAGCCCAAGACACCGUCUGCGCCGCCAUUGAGGCCGCGGACGGCGGUGCCACCUUUAAAGAGGACGUGUGGUCGAGGCCCGGUGGCGGUGGAGGCAUCAGCAGGGUCCUCCAAGACGGCGCCGUUUGGGAGAAGGCCGGUGUCAAUGUCUCUGUUGUCUACGGCGUUAUGCCUCCCGAGGCAUACCGAGCUGCCAAGGGUGCCGCCGCAGCUGAUCACAAGCCGGGCCCGGUUCCUUUCUUCGCCUCCGGAAUUAGCUCGGUAAUUUCGUGAGUUCUGCUCGUUUUGUGAAAAAAGAAAGAAGAAAAUGUUGGGUUUUUAUUUUGUUUGUAUAAUAUAUGGGCCUGCGGUUUGGUUGUGAUUGUUUUCAGGUUUUGCAUCCAAAGAACCCUUUUGCACCUACUUUGCAUUUCAAUUAUCGGUAUUUCGAAACGGAUGCUCCGCAAGGUAUGAAUGUGAUCAUUUCUCAUAUCUUUAAUGUGGAUUGCACAUUGCUUAGUUAGGUUGCGUUUGUAGGUAGGUAGGUAGGCAGGCAUGAACCCAGCUUUGGUGGUAUUACUAAUGAAGUAGAUGAUCUCUAAAUGAGUUCAGCAUUUUAUGUCAUGCUUGUGUUGAAUAAUGCAAAACCAAGGAUAUCAAAGAUUGGGAAAGGUAAAGGUUAAAUUUGGAUAUAAAUGUGUACGUGUUAUUAUGAUGAAAACUGUUAAACCCAGAAAACAUAAUUUGACGGGCACUAGAUUAUGCUCACAUGCUAGAAAUGAUAUGUUGAGAUUCUGAUUACUUCCCUUUAUGGGUUGAUUAACAAUCAGUAAUAAUGAUAGUUGCAAUGCUGAUAAUAAUACUAGCAGUUGUGAUAGUAGAAACAAUAAUAAGAUUGACUAUAGGGAUAAGAUAUUUCUUCUCGUCAGUUUCUGGAAAGUGUUCAGUCAGUGAUGUGGUAGAGAAGAUGAGGCAGAUAUCAUAUCACUAAUAAGUUUCUUUUUCCCUUGUCCCAUGCUUGAAAGUUUGCAUUUCCUUAUAUCACUCGUGUAUAAAUAAUUUAUGAAUAAGAAAGCUCUUUGGACCCUGAUUCGUCACAUUUAUGCAGAUGUUCCUGGAGCACCUAGGCAAUGGUGGUUCGGUGGCGGAACUGACUUGACACCUGCUUAUAUUUUUGAGGAGGAUGUUAAGCAUUUUCAUCAAGUAUGUAAAACAAAACAGACAACAUCCCUUAUGGUGUUUUGUGAUUAAAGUCCCACUUCUUUUGAAAAAUUCGGUGGCUUUAACUAACUGUAUAGUGGUGUUGGCCUUCUUCUGUAGGUCCAGAAAAGUGCUUGCGACAAAUUUGAUCCUACCUUCUAUCCUCGGUUCAAGAAAUGGUGUGAUGAUUAUUUCUAUAUUAAGGUAUAUUUCUUACUAAACCCUUUUAAUUGUUAUGUGUUAUAAAUUUGUAAUAUGGUGUUGAUGGUACAUAUAUCAUUUCUGUAUGCAGCAUCGAGAUGAGAGGCGAGGGCUUGGAGGAAUAUUUUUUGAUGAUCUAAAUGACUAUGAUCAGGAGAUGCUUCUUUCCUUUGCCACUGGUAUUGCUUGGAAAUAUAGAUUCUUUUUUCUUUUCUUUUUUUUCGGUUGUAUUUUCCAUUAAUUAUUUCCUACUAGUUGAGUGACUGCAUCCACUUCCUGCAUGCACUUCCGUUGAGUUGAAGAAUGUGCAAAUUCUGUGGUCCCUGCUUACAUACCAAUUAUAGAGAAAAGGAAGGAUCUACCAUUUACAGAUCAGCAAAAGGCAUGGCAGCAAUUGCGAAGAGGGCGCUAUGUUGAAUUCAAUUUGGUAUGAAGAGCCCUGAAGAUGUUAGUGAAAUUCAUAUCAGCAAUUAAUAUGCAAAUGAGGCCUAAUUUCCGUUUUCUUUUAAACAAAAGGUUUAUGAUCGUGGAACAACUUUUGGACUAAAGACGGGAGGUCGAAUUGAGAGUAUUCUUGUCUCUCUUCCACUGACUGCUCGGUGGGAAUAUGACCAUGUAAGCUUACUGGUUUUCUCUGUACGAUACUUUAUUUCUGGUACUACUGAAAAAUGGAGCGCCUUGAAGUUUUGAACUCAUAAUUGAGAGCAAUCUUAUUGUUUGCUGUGCAGAAACCAGAAGAGGGAAGUGAAGAAUGGAAACUGUUAGAUGCUUGCAUCAACCCAAAGGAGUGGGUAUAAUGUUCUAAAUGUAUGUUUGUAUCAUUUUGAGAUUUUUACUUCUUUUUCCCCACUCCUCGUCUUUCUUCUAUCAUCUUCCCUUCAAUUUUUUUCUUCAAUAGUUGAGGCUAGAAGUUAGCAGUCGAUAUCUUGUUGAAAAGUAAUCCAAUACAUGUUGAAGGUGAUGUGAGUUGUGAAUCAUGUUAGAAUUGUCAUCUUUUGUAAGACUGGAAACUCUUCUUGCCCAGUGAAUCUGUAGUCGAUUAAGAUUUCCCAACUUCUUCAUAUCCUGUAAUAUAAUCUAAUACAUGCACCGGGUGAUUUCGUUUUUUCCCCUGCACGGAAACAAGCUUGGAAAUGAGUACGAGAUUCUUCUCAUGUUUGGUUAGAGCACAAUGUAUCCUACAGGGGAAAAUCCACAUGAACAUGAGAAGGGUGGGUUUUCCGUUUUCAUGGGUUUUAAAACCCAUAUACAUUUCUUUGAUCAAAGAAACAAAAACCCAUAUACAUUUCCAAAAGGAGAUGGGUUUUCAUUCUCAUUUCUAGUCCUAGUUUUAGCAGCUUUGAAAUAAAAUGGUAAUGGCAAUAAAACCUUUAUAUUUUUACUUAAUUUGAAUUGAAUCAUCCAAGGGAGGCUUUAAUUUCCAAUUGUCUGGUGAAGCAUCGCAUGGUUAAUCAAAAAGUUGCUUAAUGAAAGAUCUUGCAAAUCAAGUGAUGUAAAAAUACGGGCAUAAAUGAAUGAAUUAAUUAGAAAGAUCUUGCACAGAUACUUACAUUAUAACCUAAACUAGAAAACUUCAAAUAUGUAUUAUAUGGACAUAGAAUUUUUCAUGGAGCGUAGGCCCCUCUAGUUAGAUGUGGUAUGAUGAAUGAUAUGCAAACUCCAAGUCGCAAGAGACUUGUAACUCAAGUAGUUAAAGCGAACAUAUACAAAGCGAAGGUAUUGACUCCAUAAUGGUGGUAUGACUCAGAUAUGUUUGUACCACUUCCAGUUAUGGGUGAAACUAAACUCUCUACGUACAAAAUGAUUAAUCAUGUCGAUACUCAUGUACAGAAAAGUCAUCAUACAGCAAACAACCAUCCUUGUAGUGAAGAAGGUAAUAGCAGUUGUCACAGAAGUAGCAGGGGUUCUCCUGAGCCCACUUGUCAUCUAUAGUCACCUGUGUUGCUCUAAAUAUUUUACAAACAUAACAUUUUCGUAUAUGUGGCUUCAGUUGAAAUAAGAGUAUCGGAUAGGCUGCCCUGUUUUGUACAUCCUGUGGAUGAAUCAAUCUCAUGUCUCUAAUUACAAUUGUAUGUCUGCAGUCUCCCUGUUUCAAAUCAUUUCCCCAAAUCGACAUCAACAACCGUCAACAGAGAUGCAUAAAAAGUUUAUCAAGAUUCUCACAUACAGAAAAAUACGUUGUAAAGCACAAAAUAAUGUUUCCCUUACAGAAAGGCAUGAAAAGAUGGCAAUAGAGAUCUGUACCUGGUGACAAUAUAGAUAUCCAGCACCAAGUCGAAAUUUCAAGUCACAAAACUGCGUCUUGUGCAUGUCAACGGCUCUGAAAUGAGGCAACUGUGAGCCCGUAACAUCACCUACAACUGCUUUUUGCUUCGUUUGCAAUCCUCCAGCUGCAAUCCAUUCCCAUUUUUUAAGAGCUUCGUCUUUAGAAUUUCUAAGCCAAUCAAAUAUAGGUUCACUAUAAUCUACUGCUGAGGGAUCCCUCAAAUCGUUGCACAAUGUAUCCUACAUAGGAUCAGCAAUAUGCUAGAUUUCAGUGCAAAUUCCGUCCUCAUCAUGAAAAUAAACAAUAAAUGGAUAGAUUUCUUACUUCUAUAAGGAAAUAUCCUGAAGGGUCAUGCUGCUUAGCCUUUUGCAUCACAUGGUCCGCUAAGCAGUAGAUCUUAUCCCUCAGUUCGGUCAAGGUUUGUUGUCCAAGGACCAAGAACUCUUGGUUCUGCAAACAAUCUUACUUCGUCAAUAACGGCAGGAACUUGAGGAAAGAAUUAUGUGAGUAAUGAAAAAGAGUGCUACAUAAAUAAGACAUGAAUGACUUGAAAUUGCUUUUAAUUCAUCUUUUCCCAGACUCAUAGAGGCAAAGAAAUCCUGUAACAGAAGGAAGGAAACCUAACUACUUUUUUCUGGUCUAUCUUUUCCCUAAACAAUACUAAAGAAGAAGAUGAACAUUCUCAGAGAACACAAGUCUGAUGAAGAAAAUAUAAAUCACAAGUCUAUUGGAUGAAAUUUUUGGUCUUGCUCCACUCGCAAUGGACUACCAAUUUAUUGGAGGUGACUCAGCCACAAGGGACCUAAAACCCUACCUGUAAGAACCUAGCUAACUCAAACCAACUCCAGAUUAAAAUGGAGAGACACAUCCAGUUGUUCUUUAGGCUUAACUCUGAGAACUUCCCAGUAUAGAGUUACACAUACCAUGACUUUCUUUCAUAUUUGUACAAAGAUUAAUAUCCCAAUCCACAGAGAAGCUCCCACUCAGGAAUGAAAGCAUCCUCAGCCAGCUAGGUUCGAGCAUGGAUAUCUUUGUUUCUGGAGCUUGUGGUCAAUGUUUGUAUCCUAUGAAGCGUGUGCUUUUUAAAAAUGAAGAAUUGCACUUGCACACAUCUCAAUUAUAGAGACAUAUCAGAUAUUUUAACCCUACAAAUCAGAAGCCCACGAAAAAUGCUAGCAUGAUACCUUGACUAGUAGGAACCAUAUAAUUGGCAAACAAACACCAAAACCAAAAGCUACUCUAUUUGACAUAAGCAAGAAGAUGCUAUACCUUCACCCAUUUUCGCGCAUUAUGGUAAACCUCAAUGGAAAGAGCAACUUCUGGAUAGUGCACAGGUACGUAGCCCUGAAUGUUGGAUGACUUUACCUGUUUGCAUAAGAGGGGGAAAAAAAGCAUAGAUAUUAUCAACCAUCUGAGAAGUCAGAGCCAGCAAAUUGAACAUGACUGCAUGAAAACAUUCACAAUAGGCAACUCUUAAGCAAACCUUCACUGCUGAACUUGCAGAUCUGAGGGGUUUCAUCCUAUCAAUUGUCCUUGAGGAUGUAAUGGCACAAUCAUUGACCUUCGAACUAGGGCUGAAUCACCAUAAGAAAAACAAUAAGUUGAAGAUGUGAGAAAAUUCAUUGAGUGAGUUACAUAGUCAUUCUACUAACUUGAACGAAUGCAGUGUCACAGCAGCUUUGUCUUCAUCUUGCUUCUCUUUGAUUCUUCUAACAUGCUCCACCUUUGCAAUAUAAGUUUCCUGGAAUGUGGCAGCAAUUAAGUUGUGAACAUGAUAACAAAGAUAUGACUUGAACAUAAGCAAGGACAAUGAAAAAUGUAAUGCAACGACAAGAAUCCUAGAUUGCAGGACCCUUACUAGGCAUGCAGUUGGGAAACUUUUUGGGAGCUUCAAAAAGUCUCUGCUCAGCGCACCUGGGGUCCUUGAAAAAUUUGCUAACUUUCUCAGUUUACCCUCAUUCUCUUAAAAAAUUCCCUUAGGUGGUACAUUAGCCUUUAAACUAGAUAGGUCUUCUCAUUCAAAUUUUACUAUUUCUUGCACCCACCCAAUUUUCAACAGUGUGAUGCCUAGGCUUUCAAAAUGAAGGAAGAUACAGACUUAAUAUAACGAGGUACUAUACCAAGUACCAACAAUUCAGAUAAAUACAUUAGCAGACACGGAGAAGGCAAUAUCUCACCUCUAGAUCAUGAUUCUUUGCCUUCGUUCGUUUUCUCUUCCUUGAUUUCUUUUUACAGGCUUCGUCAUUUGAUGCCUCGUGAUCCUUUGAUCUACUGAAUUAGGCGUAUAAAAAUCAAAUAAUGGAUAAAAAACAAUUUGGAAAUACAUAGCAGAUAGAGAAUACUCGUCAAAGUAGAAAAGAAGACUAUAAUAAGACAUAUGAAAGAUUCAGUUAAAUUUGUUCGCUUAUGUAUAAAUAUGACUCACCCUUCAUCGGAAGGCUCUUCUGGAAUAGGCGAAAGAUUGGGGGAAUCUUCAUUGUCCUACAAUCAAACCCAUGAUAAAGCCGUAACUUGUUAGCACAAGCACAGCUGUAUUAUUUAUCAGAGCUUCUUCAAAUCACAAAAAAACCCUAUGUAUAAGUAUGAGUGUACCUUAAAUGCUUCCUUGAUAGCCAUAUCCACCAACUCUUCCUCAGUCAAGAUUUUGAGCUCAUCCACCCUGCACAACAAACAAUACCACUGUGAACCAAAACCUACCAGCUAAAAUUCAAGAUGCAAAACCCAAGACAAAGGAAAGUAAAAAUGCUUACGAAAUAUCUUCGUCUAAGACUUGGGAUGAACUUGAAGAUACUUCAAAUUCUAAAUCCUGCAAAAUAAGCCCGGCACAACUUUAAACUUAUGAAUCAAUCAAAAAUUAGCAAAGCAAUAACAGAACUAUCAAGAACUCAUCAACCAAGAGUACCUGAAGUUCUUGAACAAUAGAAGACUGGAACAAAGGGACACUGGUGAGGGAGCCCACCAGAUUGGGAACGAAGAUGGGCCCACCUCUGGGAACUGAGAGUUCUUCCUCUUCCUUAUCACAACCAUUGUUGUUGUUAUUGGUGUGUUCUUCGUCUUCAACACUGCAACUGUCACCGUCAUUCUCUGCCAUAAUCUAUCUUCUUGUGUAAAGUUUUGAACUUUAAUUACACCAACAAAAUGCAUAAACUAUAUAUCUUCUCAAUAUUCAACGAAAUUAAAGAAACCCAAUUGGGAAAGCAGCAUACGAAGUGAAGGGAACAGUUGGUUUCAUUUACAACAAAAUUUGAAAAAAAAAAAUAGUAUAAAUACCUGUGAGGUGAAGCCUAGGGUUUCUGAGAGAAAGAGAGAGAGAGAGUUGAAGACAAAAGUGUCUCUCUUUGCGUCUCCCGGUUAACCCCCCAAACAAACAGUUUGUUUUUACAGUGAAUAGGCCUGGGCACGGUUUGGGUCGGGUCAAAUUUUGACUGACCCGUGGGCCAAACCGACCAAGACUGCGGUUCUCGGGUUGGAUCGGGUCAAAAAUGAAACCCGAAGUUGGGCCAACCCGAACAUACAAGGUUCGGUUCUGGUUUUUUGGUCGGUUCUGGGUUGAGCCCAAAAUCAAUUUUUUUUUUUCUUUCUAAAAGCCCAAUAUUGUUGAAUUUUUCAAAAGCCCAAUAUUGUUUUUUUUUUUUUAACAAUAUCAGUUUUUCAAGCAGCCCAUCAAUUAAAGGUUUUCCUUGCCCAAAUUAUGUAAAUUCAACUAUAACCUGUUUUUUUUUUUUAAAGUAUCUAAACUAUCAAAUUAAAUUUCACAAUCAUCAUAAAACUACGAAAUUAAAUUUUACAACCCAUGACCAAAAAAAAAAAAAAAAAAGUAAAGCACCAAAUAUAUUCACUUGUAUCAGUUAAGGGAGCUGCAAACAAAACAUGUUUUGCAGCUCCCAUGGCUUCUCCAUCAUCAUUGUUCCAAUUCGACAAAGUGUCAAACCUGCAUCCUGAUCAAAUAUCACAACUAUAGAAUAUCAGAGCAGGAAAUGAUUAGUUCUGCACAAAAUGACAGAAUCUAAACCUUUGAAAAACAAAUAUAGACCAGUCAUUCAAUCAAUAAAUAAUUAUUCAAUAAAAAAAACUAAUUAACCCAAAUAUUAGCAUUCAUUCAUCAAUAAGAUACUAACACAAACAUGCUACAUAAGGAAAAAAGGGAGAAAACAAAUAAAAGAAUGAAUGCAUUUAAUCAACAACAAGUUAAGUAGAUUCAUGCCAAAAAUACAGAUUCAAGACAACUCAAUUAAAUAAAUUGAAACAGAUUCAAGGCUACCAAUCGAACCUAAAAUACACAGAUAAAAAAAUCAGAAAUUAAAUCUGAAAACAAUGAAGAAAGCAUCCAAACAUAAACAAAACUAAAUUCCAUGUAUGUCUACGUCUAGGAAAAUGUAGUAAUAGAGUGCAGAAGGGCAAAGCUAAGCCUGAAUUUCAUCUUUCAAAUUGAUGAAAACCAUAUUGCCAAUUUAUUCAUAAAUUUUAUUCAUAAUCGAAAUCAAUUAUAUUAAUACGAUACCUCAGUGCAAAGACACAAUUCGGGGCAAUUCGGACCACUGUGAUCAUGUUACAAAGAACAAAUUAGAUAAUUCACAACACUGAGUACAGAAAAAUUGAACAGAGUAUACAAUGAAAUCAUUGACAUGAAAAUGUCAUAGUAUAAGAGUGCUUACCAGAAAGCUGCAACGCAACAAUCUGCAGAACAAACAGAACACAGGAAGAUUAAAAUUGAAGGUCAGAUCAUAUUCACAUAAAGAAAGAAAAUACCAAAAAUCCAUACAUCUAAAGUAAAGCCAUAUGGAGCUGAUGAUUUAAAAAUAUAUAAUUCUAAUUCUCCCAUUCCUUUUAAGCCACACACAGAGAUUGAGACAGAAAUAUUUAUACCUUCAAUUUUGCCUAUUAAUCCAAACCCACAGAGACUAAGCACAACAACUGCAAAAUUAAGAAAAAAUUGCAUUAAUUUCAACAGAAUACCAAAAUUUCGAAACCCUAAUAAUCUACUAAAUUAGGGAAAAUGAAAACAACUAAGAAUCCAAACUAAAUACAUACAAAUUACCUUAGAAUGAACCAGAGCCCUCCAAAAUUUACAAGGAUUCGCUCCAAAAACCAAUGAUAUUGGAUUGAUGUUUGGUUAGGUUUGGAGAAAGAGAAUGAGUCUCGCGUCUCUAAGAGACUUAAAGAUGUGACUAAGAGAGAGAGAGAGAGAGAGAGAGAGCGAGCGCGAUAGAGACGAGUUGAGAGAGAGACAGAGAGACAGAGAGGGCGCGCGAUAGAGAUGGCGGCCGAUGAGGUAGGGUUAGUCUCAGAUCGGGAGAGAAAUAGUGUAGGGUUUCGUGAGUGAGUGAGAGAUAGAUACAGAGUGAGUCUGAGAGGGUUAGUGAAAAAAUAAUAAAUUAAAAUUUGAGAGAGGUUCUGAUAUAGUGCAAGCAGACCCACCCAAAGUUCUUAUUUAAGCCAAUGAGACAACGCCAUGUGUCAAAUGCAUAUAUAAUUAAAUAAUGGUCGGUUCGGUUCAGGUCCAACGGUUCAAAAAAUUUUAGACCCGAAGCCUGAACCAAAGUCAACGGUUCGGUUCAGGUCCAGCGUUGACUUUUUCGGUUUGGUCAAAAAAACCUUAUUUUUCGGUUUGGUUUGGUUUGGUUCGGUCGGUUUGAUCAGUUUAUCAGUUUUUAUGCCCACCCCUAGUAAAUAUGUUGCAGAACGCGGCAAAUGUAUGCCUGGUACUUUCUAGGGAGUUUAAGCAGUUCGCAAUGUGGGCCCCACUCUCAACAGAAGAAGAGAAAGGUAAAGAAGGUUUUUAUUUAUUUAUAUUUAUUAUUUUUUUAAUUAAUUUUUUUAUAAGGCUAAAUUACUCUUUUUAAAAAAAAUUUAAAAUAAAAAGAAAAGAAAAGCAUGCCGCAUACUUUAUUUUUAUUUUUUUGUCUUUCGUGAGGUAAGGGGACGGAUGAGUAUUAUAUGGGAUUGCCUCAAGAUUGUCUCCAGUUUGAAUCAACUUUGAAAUUAAUUUUUCACAUAAACUUCUUAAAAAAUAUAUAUAAGAUGUUUCAUAUUCUUGCCAUCUGAAAACUUAAGGCAUUCCAUAGAUUACAACUUGAAUAGUACAUAUCAUCUGCUGUUUUUUAAUUUUCUAAUUGGAUCUCACAAACUUCUUGAGAUAUAGCAUCCUUCAAUGGGUUCUUCUCUUUCUCUUUGUUCUCUCCCCAGAGAGUUGUAGACAAACCAACAAUAAUCAAGGAAGCUCCUAAAAUACUGAAAAUGUUCACAAAUAAUAAAAUAUAUUUUAAAUUGAUAGCAACCCAGAAUUCCAAGUAAGUGAAUAAAAUAAAAAUAAAAAUUUCAUACCUUCCCAAGUAUAUAGCUUCUCUUAAAACGAAUAGCCCCAUUAUAGCUGCAACAAUUGUGGAUAGUGGUCUAAAUGCUGUCAUGAAAACUGGGCCUCUUGUUUUUACAACUAAUGUUUGCACAUAAAUGGUGAUUCCAAAAAUCAAAACUCCCUGCAAAAAUUUCACCUCAUCAAACUUCCAUGAGCAGAGAAUCUUUACCAUUUGACAGUUGAAGACCUCUUCAGAUUCUUACACUGUACAAAGGAGCAAGAAGUGUACUGUCCCAUGACAGCUUCCAAGAGGAUGCUUCAUGAUCUAGAAUUGCUGCCAUGAUCGCCGUGAGUAGAGUCCCCGAUAAGCACGUUAUCGAUGUAAGAGUAAUAGGUGCAGGAUACAUUUCGAUUGUUAUUGUCUGCAUCAAUCAAAUGUAUGAGUAUUGUAAGUAACUGCCAUGCUAACGGAAAGUUGUUCCUGUGACACUUUGUUUUUGGUUGUAGUGGUAGAAUAUGUGUGAAGCACCUGUAAGAUGUAGAAUGCUGAUGAGGAAAUAUAUGAAACAAGAAGAAAAAGGGAGCCCUUUAUCCAGUCUCUGUCUACGGAUGAUUUGGAAGUAGCAGAUUGAUGGGAGGCUUGAGUGUGCAUUGAAAUCACAGCAAUUCCCUUGUAUAGCGUCAUCAGUGCUGCACCGGCAAAGGAGAUAAGAGUUCCCCCAAUCUUGGCUUGGGUACCAAGCUUUGUAAUGUCAAAUUUUUCCAUCCUGAGUACAUAUCAUAGUGUAAAUCCUUAAAUCAGAAUGCAAUAAUGCUGUGAGUUCCUUUUUAUUUUCAGUGCAAAGGUAUGCUCAAAUGCAAUGGUGAUUGGACAUAUUGACCAAAUAUAUUUCAUACCUGCACACAACUGCUAUGAUAAAGGUAAUACAUGGAAUAAGGUUGCUCAUAGCAGCUGCAAUAGCUGGUGAAGUGUAUUCCAGUCCCAUGUAAUUCAAUGUUCUUCCCAACACUCCUCUGAAUUACACAGGAAGAUGCAGAAAAUUAAUAUCAAUUUUCAUUUGUCUGAUAAUUGUCCAACAUUAGUUGGGGAUGACUUGUUAAGAGGUUAACAAUUUACUCACCCCAGCAGGCCCAAGAAGAAGACAUUUCGAAUUAUCGGAACACUGAUUUUGCUCUCAUUUUUCCUGCACGAGAUAGGUUAUGGUUAAUCAGACGACAGAGGAUACUGUUCAUAUUGGAGGGGGUGCCAUAUUUUUAUGCAGGCUAUGGAUGAAAUCAAAUGGAAGUAAUUAGAAGAGUUGUGUUGCAAACUUCUAACAAGGCAACAAAUAAAGAAAGAGCUUUGGACUUUAGAAUCUUAGGACCAUGAGUUAUAAGAAGAAUGAAAACUAAUAGACCUCUCAAAAAGAAGUGCAAGAAGAGCAGUUGCUAGCGUUCCAAAAGCAUGGCCAUAAACCACAAGCACAUAACAGCUCAUGCCUUUGUCUAAAGAGACCUUAAUGACAACAGGGAACCCAGCAAAGCAGAUGUUAGCAAAUAUACAAAGAAUGUAAGGUUUUGACACCUCCCUCUUACUGCUUCCUCCUUUCGCCCUGUCGUCCUGCUCUUCCGUUUGCAUUUCCAUUUUCAUUUAGCAUGUUGUUUUCACCAUGACCCCAUUUUAUACCAAUUUGGGGGAAUUUAAGGAAGAAAAUUAUCUGCUACAGAUAAUUCUGUGUUUCCAGAACUCCUAAGAAGUUUUAUCAAGUUACAACUUUCUACCAAUUAAUCUACUUAAUUUAUUUUUGUGGUCAGCAUCAGCAUCAGUCUUAAUCUCACUUACAUACUCAACAUCAUACAUGACUUUCUCUUUGUCCUUCUGAUUGAUUUCAACACUCACCAAUCUUUCAUUUCCACAUACAACAUCAUUUGAUUAUUGUGACUUUUCCAAACAUUUUGUAGUGUGACUUUUCCAAACAUUUUGUAGAAGAAACGAAAACCCGCGAUUGGAGGAUGGUUCUAAUAUUCUUUACUUAUAUGAAGGGACACUUGAAAAUUUGUAGAGAUUAACCAUUCAAGUUCAAACAUUGCACCAAUAAUUUUCCCUUACCAGAACUAAAUUGAUUUUGAUAAUUGGGAUCACAUUUCUUAUAGAAGAAAAGAACAUCAAUUAUUGAAGAUUGGUUCAGAUAUAUCACAACAUAAAGGAACAGUAUCCAUUUGGGGGAUAUUUCUGUGUUCCUGAUAUAUCACUACUUACUUUCUUCUUCUUUGUUUUUUUUUCUUUUAAGAAGAGGAAAGUGCUUUGUGACACCUCAAGAACUAUUAUAAGAAGUGACUCAAUUAUGAGUUGGGUCUUACCAUAAGUUCCUCCUUAUGCGUUGUAGUUUUUAAUGUGCCCAAGCAGUGUUUUAUCAAGUUACAACUUUCUACUAAUCAACCUUUUAUUUGAUCUAAGCAGCUUGCUCAGAUAUGGCAUUGGCAAUGCUCAAAAUAGCUUCUUCUCCCUUUCUGGUUUGCCUUUCGCCCACGAAAUGUGUACGAGCAGUUAUCUAUGUAACUCACACGAUACUGAGAAUGUUCAAGAGUUGAAAGUGUAGGAUACCACAAUUCAAGAAUAUGCUCCUUCGCUGAGCAAUAGAUACAUGACUUAGAAUGCAUGCCCAACCAAAUAUGAAGAAGCUUGUAGGCUUAAAAGACUGUAUGUCUGUCUGUCAUUCAGGUUGAAUGAAUAUGAAUUACAGAGCAUGCUCUUUUUCUUUUGUUAGUUGGUUCCCCAAUAAAAAACAAUCCAAUAGUGCCAACAGGGCCUAGCCAAGUAUAAAAGAGUCUUAACUUGCAGGCUAAAAAUUUCAUGUUUGAAACCCAUAACAUCUUGAUUGAGCGUAUGAAAAAUCAUCUCCCUUAUAGUUUACUAUCAUUUGUGCUUUAAAAAAAACAAACAAACAAACAAUCCAGAGAAAUAUACAUAUUUUUUUAUGAUAGAGAAUUUGUUUUUUUUUCAUAGAACAUGUAUAGUGGGAGAAAAUUUCACAGUUCAAUCAACUCACCAACAAGCUAUUCUCUUUCCAAUAAUAAGUACCCAAAUGAGUGUUGUUAAACCCUUUUUCUAAAACCCUGCAAAUUAAAAUAAAUAAAUAAAUAACUUAAAAUAAAAUAAAAAUAAAAAACUCCAAAUCAAAAGCAGCCUCCUUCACUCCCCCUCUCUCCAUUUUUCUGAUUCCUGAUCGAAGCAAAGCAGUGAACAUGAGUGCCUAUCUCUCUCUUCGCCACCGCUCUUUCACUUACCUCAAUCGCCACCUCACAUCCUCACCCUUCUCCACCACCACCUCCAAACUCCCCACCCUUUACGAACCAGCUGCCGCCGCCACCCAAAACGACGACGUCCCCACCACAACCCUCCAACUCCUCUCAUGGGGCAGAGGCGCCUCGGGCCAACUCGGCGGAGGAAUCGAAGAACUUCGUCUCUACCCAACCCCUGUCGCCAACCUCGUCGUUCCCGCCUCAUCCUUCACCCUUUCACCAACCCAAGGCCGAAUUCAAAUACCCAAUUGCUCAGAAACAAAGAACAAUGCCCAUGGCAGUGUUGUAGAGGUGGGUAUUUCUUGUGGGCUUUUCCACUCGUCGCUGUUGGUGGAUGAAAAGCUCUGGAUUUGGGGUAAAGGCGAUGGCGGUCGACUUGGGUUUGGACAUGAGAAUUCUCUGUUUCUGCCCACUUUGAACCCGCAUUUGGAUUCGGUUCGCUUCGUAGCGCUUGGUGGAUUGCAUUCUGUUGCGCUCACCUCCCUCGGCCAGGUCUAUACUUGGUCAGUACAAUAGUAAAGACUAGGCAUUUCUUGCAUUUCAUCACAUGUUGAGUCGCAUUACAUUUUGUUGAUUGCAAUAGUUGGGUUCUCUUGUUUUGGUUUUUUUAUCUGCACAAACAUUUAUGCUUUUUUCUUCUUGGAAGAAGAAUAGCAAUAUGGUUGCAAUGAGCAGAUUCCGUCCAUAGCUUGUAAAGUUUGUAUCAAGGGUAAUAGUUUCUAGUCUCGACUAUGUGCAAUUCAAGGUGGUGUUUGAGGAAGAACUGGCCCAAUUACAUUUGCUUGUCAUGUGUUGAAAGACCGAUUUGCUAUUUUAACUCUCCAACCCACAUCAAUUUUACCACAGUCCGCUUCUUCUAUCCAUUUGAUAUAAUUAUUGUUUUCAUGUCCACUGCAAAUCUUUUAUGUUCAUUGACCAUAUUGCUCUAUUGAUUCAUGCUUUUGGUUGGAUAACUUCAUGGUUGUCGUUAAACAUGAAGCUUGCAGGGGUUAUGGUGGUUUUGGUGCACUUGGACAUUCUGUUUAUACUAGAGAAUUGUUCCCUAGAUUGGUGGAAGGCUCAUGGAGUGGGAAAAUACAUCAUAUUUCAACUAGUGGGACACAUACUGCUGCAAUCACGAAAUCAGGUUUGUUACUGGGAUCUUUCAUUGGAGUAAAGUGGUACUGUCUGGGUGCAACAAAUUAAUGGACUCUAACCAAGAGGAUAGGAAUAACUUAAACUAGUAGUGGAAGUAUGUUGCAGAUGACAUGCUUUUUCGGUUUCUUACUCCUUUCUGGCUUUAAGCAUUUAUUGUUGUUUCCGGGAUGAAGAUUUAUGUUUACGUGUUUGAUUUGUCAUUAGAUAUCUGGGUAUUACUCAUUGGAUGUAGCAUGUAGGAGAACUUUAUACUUGGGGUCGAGAUGAAGGGGAUGGUAGAUUGGGACUUGGUCCUAAUCGGGGCCCAAAUGAGGGUGGUGGACUAAGCAUACCCUCCAAAGUAAAAGCAUUACCUGUGCCUGCGGCUGCUGUUUCUUGUGGAGGGUUUUUCACAAUGGUACUGACAGAAGAUGGGGAACUUUGGAAUUGGGGAGGUAAGGUUGUCACAUCUCAUGUGGAAAACUUGUUAUAAAAGAGUUAUUUAUAAACCACCACCACCCCUCCCCCCCCCCCCCAAAAAAAAAAACAACAACAACAAAAAGCAUGGAUUGACCUAAUAUACUGUAACAACAUAAUUCCAAUGCCAAAUAAGUGUUAUUAAAUUAUUGUAAGAAAUGGUGUUAUAGUUUUCAAAUGUUCUCCCAGAUAUUUGCUUCAUUAGUCAAUGAGCUUGUGCAAAUGAAUUUCAAUUUGCAGAUUUGACAAAUGGAGAUUGUCAUAAGGGGGUGGUAUUUAGUUUAUUUUAGAGAUCAUAAAGUCAUUGGUACUUCUAUAAUGAGUAGCAUUCUUGUUACUCUUCAGUAAGGGGUUAUCUAAUUGGCUCUUGAUGUUAUUGUCAUCUUUGACUUUGACUGACUUCUAAUUGCUCCACUUUUGUGAAGCUAAUUAUCGUGUUUUCUUGGUGUUUACUCAGCAAACUCUAACUAUGAGCUUGGAAGAGGCAAUAAGGUUGGUGGUUGGCAACCAAAACCAGUUCCUAGUCUUGUAGGUGUCCGUAUCAUUCAGAUAGAAAGUGGUGGAUAUCAUUCUCUUGCGUUAACUGGUAAUGUGACAGCCGUGUCUCAUGAUUGCAGCAACAGCACUUGCUGUCUUUAUUUCUUGAAAGGUUAAGUCUUAUGUAUGGCCUUUCUUUCUUGAUGUUUAAUUUUUUUAGAUGAAGGUAAAGUGCUUUCAUGGGGACAUGGUGGGCAUGGUCAGUUGGGCAACUCUUCUAUCCAAAGUCAGAAAACACCUACAGUUGUUGAGGCUUUAACUGACGAGCGUGUCAUCUAUAUUGCUUGUGGAGGUUCAUCUUCAGCAGCUAUAACAGGUCAGAUGAUUCUUGUGUUCUCAGAUACUGUAAUCUAUUAGGUCUUAAAAAUAUUUUGUUACGUCGCUCAAAUGUGUAAAUGCUGUGCAGCCUCUAAUUACAUUCCACCAGGGUGUCUCUUUACAGUGAGUAAUGUGCUCCUGUAGUUGACACACAUGUUGAUUUUUUCUUUAACGAUUUAUUCAUCCAAUAGAAGAUUUGUAUUCGGCCAUGCCUUUUCAUUUGGUUUGCUAUGCGUUGGUAGUGUUGGGGAUUGAAACUGAGACCAAAAGAAAGGAUUAAUUUAGAAUAUUCUGGAAACAACUGAAGACUUAAAGGACAUCGGAUUAAGAGCAUCGAUAAUUCUUGGUUGCAUAAUUCAAGAACAUGGUUAGGCUGAUGUUCGGACCUGGUUCAAACUAGCUUACUUCAUAUUUUCAUGCAUUUCCGAUUUGAAAUUGAAUGCCCCCGCCUUUUGUUCCGUAACAGAUAAAGGAAAGUUGUAUAUGUGGGGAAACACCAAAGAUUCUCAAUUAGGAGUUCCUGGGCUUCCAGAGAUACAACCAUCCCCUGUUGAAGUCAAGUUCUUAAUGGAGGAUGAUGGAUUGGGACCCCACAAUGUGCUGUCUGUUGCAGUUGGUGCUUCUCAUGCCAUGUGCUUGGUUUCAAGGUCUGACUGUUUCAGUGUGAUAAUUAUUAUGAUUUUCUUUUUUCUUUUUUCUAACGUAUAAAUUCUGUAACAGGGAUGGAAUGUCCAACUGAGCUGAAAUGGAGGAGAAAAUGGAUGGAUAGCUAUGAUUCAGAGGUUAAACUGAUUCAAGAUGAUAAAUAUUAUUCAAGUGAGAAAGAGUAGACUUCUAGCCAGGAGAGAGUGAGAGACGAACAAAUGCUAUACAGGAGAUCAAAUGUGAGCACAUUUGAGCGCCAGAAGUUGCUGCCCCUACUCCGUCUGGCAUUAGUACCGCAACAAUUUGUGCAAAACUCUAUGAAACCUCACUUCGAAAUGCAACGGCUCAACGCCGUUCUGCAAGGAUAUGCUGACAAUUGACAGAACUCAGUUAUUGUAAACACAUGAGAGAUUUCCAGGUUCUUUAAAUUAUUGGCAGAGAUGUAGUGCCCCAUAUUCUCUCCGAGUUACUAGAAUGCCUCAGGCUGGGAAUUUGGCCCAACUCUUUACUUCGUUUUUGUACUACUUUUGACUGGGGCUGUUCAGAUACUAACUGCAGUUCAGAUGAAUAAUCUGUUCCAAAUCAAAAUAAACUUUGUUUUGUGUUCUCAUGAUUUCUUUACCUACUUGUGGGUUUUUGGAAGUGUUUUUUUCCUUCCCUUUUUGUGAUAUAUUUUUUGGGUAAAACCUGCAUACGGGUUGUAUCUGUGAUUAGCUUGGUACCUUCACCAUCAAAAAUGGACCCUACGGUUUCUAAACAUCAUGGUACAUUCACUUGGCUUGCCUUCACAGCUAUCAUCUGCUGAUGUGAAUGAGCCUUCACUUGUCGCUGUAUAAUGGAAACCCUAUGGUUUUGUAGCUUUCAUGACACAGUUGCUCAUCAUGUUCCUUGGCUCCGUCUUUCUUGUGGCCCCUAGAGCAAUUGAGCACAAGCAUUAACUUGUAGGAUUUCACUAAGAUUAACCGCCCACGUCCGCGGGUGAUCUAAUGUGAGUCUCUUAAUAAUCAAUGAUUAGAAAUCAUUUACACAUAUAGGCGACUGAUCUUAGCAUACUCUUAACCUAAAUAUAUUGAUGAUACGAAAUCAAAAGAAAGACCGUUGUCCUCGUCCACUCGUGACUAUUGGCUCUAGGUGGUGGCUUGGCUCUUGGGUAAACUUCAUUUUUUGCUCAUAAGAUGAAACGGGUUUUGGUUGUCUUUGAUCCCCACAGUCAAAGGAGACAGUGUGCACAAUGUGGACCACCAAGCUGCAUGCUGCGAUCGUUUGGUGCGUGACAAACUUCAAUCAUUUCACUAUGUUUUGGCUACAUCUUAUUCACACCUCUCACGACAAACAUUUACGAACGGGGCUUUGGCCCCAUUAAUAUUUGCCUCGGGCUAUGGCCCCAUUAAUAUUUGCCCCUUCCUUGCAUGAUUCCAAAUCUCAACGGAACGGAAGGGAAAUCACUACAGACACCCUCUUGAUUUGUCAGGUGUUUUUAUCACAGCAAUCGUGUAUGUACAUGACAUCUAGUAAAUAAUUUGUGUAAGUAGACGUAGGUGAGUUGGUCAGGUAGUAAAUCUGCUUUUUUACGCUCAAGUUUGAGUUUUAUUUUUACUAGCCUCUCUGCACGCGCUUCUGCGCAUGCGAGAGGUUUUUUUUAAAAAAAAUUUAAAUUUAUUUUAGAAUUAAAAAAGAUAAUGGAUAUUUGUGUUCCAUAAAAAUAUGAUCCAUUAUCUGAAUUUUCUUUUAAUUUUAAUUUUUUUAAUACGAAAAAUUGUGAAUUUACCAUAUUAUCCUCAUUUAAUUAAUAAUUUCAAUUCUUAAUAUUUGCAUUAACCAAGGGUAUUUUCUGGUAUUUUGAAUGUUUCACCAUUCUCUGCCUUUUGCUUUAUAUAUAUAGAUAAAUUAGAUUAAUUUAAACUAUCAUUUGCAUAUAAAUAAAAUAAAAAAAGAUAAUUUGUGUAAUCUCAUAUCUUUCGCUCAACACAUAGCACAUCGCAUUAUAAAAAUCAGAGGAAUGCUAUAAGACAGUGUGCGUCAAGCAUUAGAUUUAUGUGGAUUCAAAUUAUGGAUCUCAUUACUAUCGACAUUUGAGAGUUCACUUAGGCAAAUACAUUCACGCAUGCAACUCUCUCUAUUAUAACUUUGAAAACAAAAGAAGAAAAAAAAUAAAAAAUUCAAAUUGUAUCGUGUUACAAUUGAUGGUAAUGAGUUGAUUAUAUGAUCAGCUAAUCAUAUAUAAUUAAAAAUAUAUAUAUAGAAACAAAAAUAUACAACAAGAAAUGUAAAUUUUCUUUUACUAUUAACACGUAUGUCUGUCAUGGGACACUUCCCUUACAGGUUUACGCAAACAAAUAUGAACACAAAUCAAAACAAACGUUCAAAAUAAAACCCUAUAUGGAAAAUAAAAACUAAUAAUGUUAUGUAGGACAAGCUUCCCUAAUAUACGCUUAAUCAUGUUAAUUGCCGAUCAAUCACCAAUGUGUAUCAAGUGAUUGAUCCUAGCCGUAAGUGAACACCGAACACUGCGACGCCGGCCUCGACAGCUCCGUUCCCGCACUGGCCGGGCACGCCUCCAUCCCCACCUGGGGCACCAUGCAGUUGUAACUCAAGCACAACGACACCGUAUCGGGCAACAUCGACCCCGGCUCAACAUGGAACCCGGAUAAGUAAUUGUGCUGUAAAUACAAUGUUCUGGUGGUGCCCACGUACACGCUCUUAACGUACUCCCUCGGUACGUUCCCAAUCAGACGGUUGUUAUUCAAAAACAAGCUCUCCACCCCCGCCAGGAUCGGCGACAGCUCACCCGUUAUGGAGUUGUGGCUCAAAUCCACGAUCGAGCCCUCGCCGUAGGAUGGGGGCUGGGACUCCACGGGCGGGACCCACCCGGAGAGAUUGUUCCGUUGCAACAGCAGCGACUGGAGUGUGGUACGGAACAGAGUUUGAGGGAGGGGUCCACUGAGACGGUUCAUGCCGAGAUCGAGGUGGACUACAUCGGCGAGCGAGUCGAAGAGGGAGCCGAUGGGACCCGACAUUUCGUUUUCCGAGAACGACAAGUAACGGAGCGUCGUCGGGAGAGAGGGCGGUAAGGGACCGGUGAGCUUGUUGCGUUUUAAGUCCAGGUGAAGGAGUUGAGACAACACGUCGUGCGGCAGCUCGCCGGAGAGGGAGUUGGAGGCGAGGAUGAGGACUUUCAGAGCCGGUAAACGGGUCAGACCCGAGGGGAUUGACCCGGUGAGCCGGUUGUAGCUGAGGUCGAGGGUGUGGAGGUUGGAGAGGAGAGAGAUGGUCUGGGGAAUCGGACCGGUGAGGCGGUUGUUGGUUAACGAGAUGACUCGGAGGUUGGCGAGUCGGCCGAGUUGGAACGGGAUUGGACCUGUGACGAUUCCGGGGAAGAGGAUGAGCUGAGUCAACUCGGUGAGGUCGGCGAGGGAGGGAGGGAGCGACCCGGCGAGGCCGGGCGAGUCGGAGAGGCCAGUGCCGAGAGUGAGGGUGGUGACUCGGCCGGAGGUGCAGGUGACGCCGGAGAAGGUGGAGCAGGGAUCUGGUGCGGCGAAGUCCCAGGUGGAGAAGAAUGCUGUGGCACCUCGGAAGGGGACAUCGGUGAGGGAGUUCUUGAUGGCGGUGAGGGCGUGGAGAUCGACGGUGCUGAUUUUCUGGUUUUGUUGUUGAUGCGACGGUGGAGUGAGAUUGAGAAGGAGGAGGAGGAGAAGAAGAAGUGGAAGUGGGAGUGAGGAGUGUGCAUGUUGUUUGGCCGCCAUGACCAAAAAACCACGAGAGAGAGAGAGGAAGUCAAAAUUGGUGCGGUUUCAUGUAAACCGUAAGAAUGGGGUAUGAAGUGAUGAUGGAUGUAACCGUUGCCUUGCGUAAUGGCGUUAUGGCCCAACCCAUUUAUUUGAGUCACCUUUCUUGGACUUAUUAUAAGAGCGCUAGUUACUUCAUUUACUCGCUACAAUAAUUACCACUGACUACAUCUUUCACACCUGUAGAACCUUACUUGCACACAGUGUGGAUGAAUCUCACUCCAUUGCUUGAGACAGUCGUACCUCUCAAUUGUUAAUGCAUGUGCGGUUCGAAUUUCAUCAACGAUUGAAAAUCACUUACUCGUAUGUGUGAUUAUUUUCAAGCGAAAUCAAUGUGUAUAAUUUGAGUGUUUUACCCCUCGAAUUAAACUGAGAAUAGUGGUCCUCUGAGUUGGGCAACUUUUGAGGUGCAUAAAAUAUGUCCUCUAGGAUCACUCUUCGCCACUUUUGGUGGUUAGGACUUAGGGGUUGGUUAAUUGGUUGGACAACUUAGACUAAAAGUACUACUACUUAAGUGUUAGGCUUGGCUUUGCUGUCAACCUUUUUUUAGCAUUAUUACUUAAAAAAUUAAGAAACGUUUUUGCAAUUAAGAGAUUGAUGGAAUCAUAGUAAUGAAAAGCAGAGAAAGUUCACCCACCAUGACCAUUGACCAUGCUCUGUUCUCUUGUAAAUUCAGGUUUGAAUCUUUGCUGCCUGCACCAUUUUGUUCUUUUAGAGCAUGCAGAGCAGAUGGAUCUAAAAGAAAAAGACCCACUUGGGCCACUUCAUGCUUCAAAGAGCAAACUCUUUUCUUCCCAUUUCCCAACCAAUAUACAUAAAAAUGUAAGUUAAUUAGUGAUUAGAGCUAGCAAAACCAAGCACUUAGCACUAAUCCACACACCUGGUAGACUUGUUUACUGACAGUUAGUGAAUGACCUAAACUUAAUGCAGACAAAAAGUUGAUGAAAAAAAAAAAAAAAACAAGAAGAAGAAAAAGACCAGAGUCUAGCUGCUACACCGAUCACUGCUUCCCAACUUAGCUAUUAGUUAAUGGGAUGUCUUUAGAUGCACAUGGGGAGAGGUGUGGGCAAACAUCAAUAUUCACCCCAACAGUGGUCAAACUAUGCACGUACAAUAUUCUAAUUUUACCCAUAAAAUACAUUAGCAUAUAUAUAACACAUUGUUUAUUGCCAUUAAAUUAGGCACCAUGAUGCAUAUAUAGAGAUCCAUAGACAGCUCAGAUGGAAACUUCGUGACGCCACUGCGGGAAAGAUUCUCCCACUCCUCACUAAUUUAAUUUAUAUUGGGCAUUUUGUAGAUGUAGGUUAGGCUGAGUUAGAUCAGUUGGUAAUGGCAGUGAAUCCGUUCUCUUGCACUUAAGUUUGAAUCAAUGUCUUUGUAAAUUAGAUUAAUUUAGAAUAAAUUAUCGCUUGUAUCAAAAGUUCAUAUUGGGCAUUUAAGUGAGUACCAUGAGACAAGUAUUACCAAAAUAGAGUCAUUCUAUAAUGAGGGCUUUAUAUAUGGCCCUUAGAUGAGAUUCUAUCUUUAAUUGUUGAAUUAAAUUAAUUAAUUUUAUUCAACAAUUAAGAGAUAAGACAUCACGUAAAAGUUAUAUACAAGGCCCUCACUAUAGAAUUCUUGGACCAAAAAGAAAGAAAAAAGAAAGUUUUGAAGGAAGUUGAGCUUAGGCAGCUUUACGUGGGUGUGUAUAUAAAAGUUGACGACCCACCAAUGGAUUAUGGAUGGUCCACUGCUUUAGAGAAAAUGUUUUGGUGGAUCUUUCUCAAGCAGUGUGGGUAGGUCCAGUGCAAUUUUGUAAAAGGCUGCAAAAUGAGCAUGCCGCAUGUCCAAUAUAAUGAAGGAAUGAAUUGGAACUCAAGGAAUAUCUAGCUACCAUCACUACUAAGUUAGGAUUUUAAGUUGGUUUUUUAAGGCUACUUUUUGGGGUAAAAGAGCUCGAGACAAAGCUUGCAUGUUAUGCUAUGGGUUUUUUUUGUUUUUUUUAUUUAUUUUUUAUACGAAUGAUAUUGGGAAGGGAGGAAUCUAAUCUAGGACCAUAAGUGCAAAGGGGUAAAAUGUGAAGCCAGAAAAUUUGAGAUGUUAAGGUGGGUUGGGCCUCCAAAUGGCUCGGGUCCUACGUGCGUGGGAAUAUAUAUUGGGCUUUAUUUUCUUGAAGUCUACCAACAUAACCCUAAACAAAUUUAGGAAAAUAUAUGCAUGCAUGGUUUUAUCCUUCUCAAAACCGUUCAUAAAAAUUUACAAAUGCAGUAGAGGAUCGAGGAAUUCAAACCAUAAAUGCAGUUCCCUAUGGAGAGCUGAAAAUGCAGGGGUGAUCUUUGGUUCCAGGAAUAAAUAGUGAAACCAUUCUUCAACGAAAUGCUCACAGAGCUUCUAAACCAAUGAUUAUCCCCUCUUUCCCUAAUAACCAACAUAAGACAUCUAAACCAAAUGAAGAAAUGCUUUUACUAUCUAAACUAUCAACUCUCACUCACAUCACAUACCGAUGCUCAAAUGAAUUAUUACCACAAAGCCUUUCCCUAGCAUUGGUCAGUAGUAACACAAGCACAUUAAUCAUUUCCCUCUCUUUUCAACUUCUGACAUGUCAAAAAGAGAACAUUUCGUAAACAUACGCAGCCCGCACGCAAGCACACAGUCCUACACUACAUAUAUAUGUCCAUGAUUUUCUCAUAUUAGAAUCCUCUGAGAUGAGUGCCAGACUUUGUGCUAGGACCACCAACACAGUGCUAGCUGACCUCCCUCUUCCCUCGUCAUAUCAUCCUUGUAAUCCUGUUUAAGCAUCGAUUGAGCCGCUUGGUUGUUCGCACCAAUCACUGCAGCCUUCCAGCCAGCAUAGUUUCCACUAGGGUCACUCAAGUAAAGUUGAAAACCGAAAUUCUUGUCCCCAACCCGCAAACAAAAAUGAAACACCAAAGGGCCGGAGACCACCAAACUGUGUGUAGCCCUGCUUAGUAUCACAAAGAGAUUGAACAAGCUGCUCAACGGGCAUUGGUUCUUGGUACGCAAACAUAUAGCGCUGAGCCUGGACCCUAGAAGUGUUUAUCAGGAUGUUGGCAUCAGACAUUAUGCCAGCCACAGCACAAGCAACAUGAUCAUAAAUCUUGUGUUGGAUAUUUAUUCAUUAUUGUUAUUUGAUUUAUUUAGUUAAUUUGCUUCUGCUAAUAAUCCCUAUUUACCAGGAAACAUGGUUAGUGUUUGACCUGAUCUUUAGGAGAAUCCCAAUAGUCUAGGGUUGUUAGACGUGAGAUAUUUUGUUGCUUAAUUUUCUGAUUACUUGUUCCCUGUACGACUAUUUAUGCCAGUCUUUGGAGUCAAUGAAUGAUAGAACAUUCACUCAGACUUUCGCACUCUUUAGCUUUCAAAGUUCUAGUUCUUAACAUCUUGUACAUUUUCUCAGUGGAAGUUGUGGAGUGGAGGAGUUUGGAUGUGACUUUCUUCUCACCAACUAAGAUAACCCCAUCUUUUGACAAAAUCCCAAUUGCAGUACCCGCAUUUCCAAUGGCCUCCAUUGCAUACUCAACUUGGUAGAGACGACCCUCAGGGGAAAAGAUGGUUGUACGGCUAUCAUAUCUCCUAGACAUCUUUGAUAAUAACUGUGAACGUUUGUGAAAUAAUGGUAUUAAAUUUUAUCAUUUUUUUCUUCUGAGAUAAUGGUAUUCAAUUUAUAUAAGAUGAAACAAGGGAAACCCAGAAAUCCAAAUAUGAACACAGUUAAAAAUUCCAACAGCUCAAGGUUUUCUACAAUCCAACAAAGCCAAAUAGCAUCAAUUGGGUAGCAUACAUAUGUGAAAUACUGAAAAAUCACAAAUCAGAUGCAAUAAACAUUAAAAUUAAUAAUAAUCACAAGACGCAAAUUAAAAAUGAACUUGGUCGAAAUUGAGACAAUGUAAGCAGCCCCAUCGCACAAACUAAUUGAAAUGACAAUCAUACAAGAAUACGGGCCUUACCCAGUUUCGCUUGCUCUCUCUUGGUUCAGAUGCUUGACAAAGUUUACGCCUUUUGCCGCCUACUCAGCUCUCAGCUCCCUAUUCUAGUAUUCUUCUUCUUCCUCCCCAAGAAAUAACCAAGGCUUUGUUUGCUCUGGCAUCCGGGGCUCCGAGUAGGGGCCUUUGUAGAAAUUGGGUCAAAACUCUGAGGCCGAAAGUAUCGGCCUUUUUUUACACGGGUAGCCCAAACAUUGUUGCUUGCGCAGGUAACCCAAUAAUAUUCAAUUGUCUAGGCUCAACUAUUUCAGUGGACCGGAGUGUUUUUUAGGUCGAAAGUGGACCGGAGUUAAGUCCAGAUAUUUGAGGUAAAUCUUUUAGGGCUCGUUUGGUACGUCGGACUGUACUGACUAAUUUUCGUCGGAUAGUAUUAAUUUAUUUCGGAGAGUACUGACUAUUUAUCCAUAAUAUUAUAAGGCGUUUGGUGCUGUUCCGGAUAAAUAAUUUGACUAAGUUAUACUGUGUUUGGUGAUGUUUCAGAUAACAUCAUAUCAGACUAUUUAUAAAUAAAAAAAAUAUAAAAUUUUUUUUGAUAAUUUUAAUGGAAAUUGAGAUUCAAAUGACACAAAUUUUUUUUGGUAAGAUUCAUAUGACAAUAUUUGUUUUUCAAUUGUUUUUGCCAAGAUUUUUUUUCAUAUAACCCAUUAUCAUAAUUGUAGUAUCUCAUAAAAAUUCCAACAUACUCGCAUACGUUAAUAAAAACAGUAUCAAAUAAUGUAUAAUUCAAAGUGAUCACAUAUUAAGGUAAUAAGAGCAAAAGAGAAAGUUGUUCAUAAACCAAACUACAUCAAAGAGUGAAUCACAACUCCCUCGCCUCAAGUAAGAGAAAAACAAAUGCUUUUCUCAUAGCACCAUCCACUGUCAGGAAUAUUUUUUUUAUCAUUUGCUUUCUCCAAAAUUAGCCGUAGUGCCUUAAUUUGGUCAUUAAUAGACAAGUCCAUCUUUGCUUUUCUAAUAACAAUUGACAAAGAAAAAAAAAUGGUUCUUAGAAUUCAGUUUCAUACAUUUUUAAUUUUAUAAUUUUGCUCUUCUAGUCGUCAGGUAUGUAUGUAUUCAACUAAACUACCAAUACUAGCACAGUUGUUUGUUUUUGGAUGAAAACUGGCAAUACUCUGUUUAAUACCAACAAUCUAAAUAUUCCCACAACGUCGAAUCACUAUAUCACAUACAAAAAAAACAUUCGAUUAAAAAAAGUACCAAAAAAAAAAAAUUCAUAACCUAAUUUCUACUAAAAAUUUGAAAUAUAUAAAGCAUAUUGGAGAGAGUAUGAAAAAAGAGAGAAAGUGAGUGAUGGAUACCUGGAGAAGAGUGAAGAAAAUAACAUGUGGAGAAGAUAGUAGAGAACAACCCUAGGGAGAAGAAGAUGAAAAGAGCAUCUGAUUUUUUUUGUAGAACUCGUGUUCUUUUUCCCUAGCCUUAUAAUUAAGCGUGUAUUAUCUAAACCGGGGUGUGUGGGUUGUAUUAGUUAGUUAGGUAAGGAGAGUAUUAAAAGCCCAACCCGUAUAAAAUAGUCGGGUAAUUAAAUAAUACAAGUUGACACCAAACACCUGACAUAGACUAUUUACUCAUAUCCAGAGUCUAAUACGAUGUACCAAACGAGCCCUUAGCUGUUAUAAAAUAAUCUGGAAUACGUGCGAAUAUUGAGCUGCACGUAAAGUAGAUGAGACACAGUAUUUAGCGAGGUUCGGCUAUGCCUACAUCCCCGGAGAGCAGCAGUAGUAACUUUUCCACUAUGUAAAAUAAUAGGGCUACAACUUUAGAGUUUACAAUAUGUGAGGCUCACUGAAUUUUCUCUCUGCUCACUCACCCUAUUUCUUCCUUCUCUUCCUCCUUUCUCUUUCUUCUCUCUUUCCUUCUUUCCUUUUCUUCUCUCUUUCCUCCUUUCCUUUUCUUCUCCCCGUUUCCUAUCUCUUUCUCUCUUCUUCUUUUCCUCUUCUCUUUCUCUCUUCUUCUUUCUCUAUUUAUAGACAUGUUAAAUGGCACCCGUGUUUCUACAAUACACAUCCGUGAGUGUGCAGCCAAAUACUUUGCUUAAUUUUCUUUGUGGGCCCCAUAAAUGUGGGCUCCACAUGUUUCUUCUUUACAACAUUAGCAAUUUCUUUUGGAGAAAAAAGAGAGGGAAAGCCAAGGAAAGAGAAAUUUUUAAAGAAGUCAAAUGGACAAAUGCCUUGUGAUAUAUAGGUUAAAUUGUAGCUAUGGUUUCUGAAAUAUAGUCCGAGUUGUAUUUUCAUCUUUCAACUUCAAAAAUAGGUGUUUUCCAAUAGGUCUUGCAUUGCAGCGUUUAUCCUUUACGUCAAGUCUGUCUAAUUUACCUCUCAAAAAGUCAACUAAAUUGAUAAUUGUAUACCUCAAAUUGAUGGAAUUUAACGAAAUGACCAAUUUGACAUAUGUGAGAGAGUUGGAGGAUGAGUAAAACUAAAAAAAUUAGUUGAAUGAUCAAAAUGAAACCGGGUAUGACCAUUCGAUNNNNNNNNNNNNNNNNNNNNNNNNNNNNNNNNNNNNNNNNNNNNNNNNNNNNNNNNNNNNNNNNNNNNNNNNNNNNNNNNNNNNNNNNNNNNNNNNNNNNNNNNNNNNNNNNNNNNNNNNNNNNNNNNNNNNNNNNNNNNNNNNNNNNNNNNNNNNNNNNNNNNNNNNNNNNNNNNNNNNNNNNNNNNNNNNNNNNNNNNNNNNNNNNNNNNNNNNNNNNNNNNNNNNNNNNNNNNNNNNNNNNNNNNNNNNNNNNNNNNNNNNNNNNNNNNNNNNNNNNNNNNNNNNNNNNNNNNNNNNNNNNCAAAAAUCUUGAACUCCUUUUAAGAAACUUUUUUGAACCAUUAGAUUAAUAUCUAACGGUGAGUAAUCACAAUCUCUUGGACUCCUGUGGUCCAAGAGAUCAAGACUAUUAAAAAAAGAUAACACGAGCAGUUAUGUUUCAUAAAAGUAGGAUCUAUUAUUUAUUUUAAUUUUUAAUUUUAAUUUAUUUUAAUAUGAAAAAAUAUAAAUUUACUAUAUUAUUCUCAUUUAAUUAAUAAUUUCAAUUCUCAAUUCUUAAUUAUUAUCCUCAUCGAAGUGUUGCCUUGGCUGCUGCUGAAUUGGUUUAUAUAGCUAAAAUGUUUAAAGACAUUGGCUUCUUUCUAGGCACUCCUCCUCUUCUCUGGGUGGACAAUCAACUGCUAUUUCUUUGGCUUCUAAUCGUGUGUUUCAUACCAGGACUAAACACGUGGAGGUUGAUUAUCACUUCACACGAGAAUUGGUGCAAAAUGAUUAAUCAGCUUCCUGACAUUUUUACAAAGUCUCUAUCUUCCUCUCUUUGUGUAUCUUCCAUCCAAGCUUUCAGUUUGUGACACUACCUUCAGCUUGAAGGGGCUGAUAGAUAUAUCUCCACAUCUAAUUCUAGCCUUUCAUUAUAGAGUUGUUAAUUUCUGUUUAGCUUUAUUUUAAUAAAUUGUAAAGCUGUCAUUAAUGUACAUCUAUAUUAUUACAAGUGUAUAUAAACAAUUCAAUGUAAUCAUUAUUGUUUAAUAAAAUGAGAAUACAAUUUUAGUUUUCUCACAAAAUAUUGAAGGAGAAUUAGAAAGUGGAAAAGUCAAGAAGUAGAGGAUUAGUGUCAGGACUUUUAGGCCUGAGGAAACAGUACUGAAGUUGACAAUGAGUAAGAGAUUCUUUGAUAUUAGCAAAACUAACACGACAAACAUGCCAAAUGUUGGGAUUUUGGGUGACUGAUUUUGAAAUUAAAAUGUUGUAGUGGUGACGUUGUCGAAAAUGUUAGGUGAGAGAAGAACAUAUCAUGUAUUCAUUUUCUAGCCAUCUAUAAAUUGUUUUUUUUAAAUAAAAACAUUAACAACAUUACAUGUAAAACUUGACCCCAAAAAUAAAUAAAUAAUUACAUGUAAAACAAUUGAGUGAUGGGGGCCAUUGCAUUAUUCCCCUUUGGAUUUAUGCAUGCAGGAGGAGCUAGUAGGCUUCGCAUUUAUGGGUAGAAUGGACAUUAUUGGACAACCUUAGGUAUGCAUAUAUAGGAAAACGUCCAAAAUCCAUAAAGUUGGGACGUACGUGGUGGUGCAUGCAUGUUGGUAUUUGAUAUUGAUAUUUUAUUCCCACCCAAAAUAUUACAAACGAAUGCAGUCAAAAAAUAACUCAAAACCAGUGCACACUCGCGUCACGUGCUUCUGCAGACACAAACUAGUAAGCAAUUCACAGAGGACAUAGCCACAGAGGGGGAGCAGAUCGAUGCAAAUUAUUAAGUUUUUCUUUAAGCCAAAAAACUCAGCACCGACAUGACUUAAUAAUUAAGAUUACCACAGUAUAUCGAUCUGAUACACUAUCAGAUAAACAAAAAACAAAACAACAAAUUACAGAAAUUGAUCCCUCAAGAAGUAGAUUUCACUUCCAAGCUUUCACAUGCUAUUAAUUAUUAGCUGACACAUAUUAUGCUAAUCAAUUAAACCACAGUGACCACUAAUUGGGAUAUUUAGAACUGUGCUGUGGUGAUGAUCAACUUCAACUAUGCAGGGCACUGGAAUCCAGAGGGUGGAGUUUUCCCACAGUCAAUCAGAACCUGAAGAGCGAUGGGGAUGAUGAUGUUGAUGUUGAGAAGCUUAGCCUUGAUGGUGGUGCAAAGGCAAAUUGCAGCAUCCAAGUCCACCAGCCCUUGAAGCACUGGACAGCAUGCAUCCUUGGCACUGCUGCCAAUUCCAAUGUGAAUGAGGCCACCCAACACAUCCACACAAGCUCCCAACUUGAGAGUGUCGAUGGGACACGUGUUCUUUGGUGGUGAUGGGGUUGGCACUGGUGUUGGUGGUGGUGGAGGAGGACAUGGUGUCUCAGUGGGUGGAGGAGGCUUAACUGGUACAACUGGGGUAGGUGUAGGUGUUGGUGGGCUUGGUGGUACAACAGGUGGUGAUGGUGGUGGCUUAACUGGUACAACUGGGGUAGGUGUUGGUGUUGGUGGGCUUGGUGGUACAACAGGUGGUGAUGGUGGUGGCUUAACUGGUACAACUGGGGGCUUGGGUACAUAGGGUGGUGGGGGUUGUACAACUGGGGGCUUGGGUACAUAUGGUGGUGGUGGUUGUACAACUGGGGGUUUGGGGAUGAAGGGUGGGUGCACAAUUGGGGGUUUAGGGAUAAAAGGUGGGUGCACGAUUGGGGGCUUGGGGAUGAAGGGUGGGUGCACAAUUGGGGGCUUGGGGAUGAAGGGUGGGUGCACAAUUGGGGGUUUAGGGAUGAAGGGUGGGUGCACAAUUGGGGGUUUAGGGAUGAAGGGUGGGUGCACAAUUGGGGGUUUAGGGAUGAAGGGUGGGUGCACAAUUGGGGGCUUGGGGAUGAAGGGUGGGUGCACAAUUGGGGGCUUGGGGUGGGGUGGUGGUUUGACAAUAGGAGGCUUGGGGAUGAAGGGAGGUCUCACAAUAGGUGGUUUGGGGACAGAAGGAGGUUUUGGUAUAUGGGGAGGAUAUACAAUGGGGGGUUUGGGGCCAUGAGGUGGCUUGGGUACAUGGGGUGGAUGAGGAUGAGGUGGCUUUGAUGGUGGCUUGGGAACAUAGGGAGGCUUUACAUGAGGGGGAUGGGGUGGUUUUGAUGGUGGUUUGGGAACAUAGGGAGGCUUUACAUGAGGAGGAAGAGGUGGUUUUGAUGGUGGUUUGGGAACAGAGGGAGGCUUUACAUGAGGGGGAUGAGGUGGGUGUUUAGGUGGUUUAGGGAUGAAGGGUGGCUUUACAUGAGGAGGCUGUUUGGGUGGCAAGUGUGGAGGGUAUGUUGGUGGUGGACAGUAGGAGUUAGCAAGAGAAGUGAGCAAACUACCCAAAUUCACAAUGAGGACUAAGAGCAAAGCCAGGGUAUAAUUCCCCAUGUUCAAAACUCCACAACCCUCAAAAGAGUUGGGUUGUUUAAGACCGGAUAUUGAAACCCAACACCAUGCAAAAGCCUUCUUAUAGAGAUAUGGUGAGACAAGUUGUGAGUGAGUAUGUACAUAAGAGAGAGAGAGAGAGAGAGAGAGAGAGAGAGAGAGAGAGAGAACACAAUCCUGUACCUUUCUUUGUGGUACCAACUAAAGAUAUAUAAAACUAUUAAUCUCUGUGCAUAAUUAAUUAAUUUGUCAAAUUGCCAAGAUGCACAUUGAAUUGAGGUCUCUCCAAACUCCAAACUUCAACUUGAUCAGUAUCAAAUUCACCACAAACAAAAGGGAGGAAUUGAGUCACUUUCUUCCUUUACAUUCAGAACCAAGUAGGGCACUGCAAUCACUGACUUAAACUGUAGACAAAAGUAUUCAGCUUUUAAGGAGAAAAGGAUCAAGAAAACGCGGUUUUGUGAUAGAGGCAAGUUUUAACAUGUAGUGAGAGCCUUGCAAGUGACUAUUCAACCCGUGAUUGAGGUUUUGAUGCCAAGCCACAUGUGAGGCUUUCAUUGACAACAUUUUCUUGCAUUAAAAAAUUCUAAGGGUACAAAAGAGGCCUUAGACUUUUUCUACUUAAAGCACAUGGUUUUUCCUUUUUUCAUUUUUUGGGGGUUUUCUCCCGAAUAGACGAGUCCAUUAAUGCUACAAUGUUUUAGUCUAAGAAAUAUUCCUAUAUGAAUAGACCGUACAAUUGUAUUUGAGUGUCGGUUAUCUUAAUUUAUUAUUUUUUAUAUAAACGAUAUUGUAUUUUAAUUUAAUCCAUACUAUAAAAAGAAUUAUUUAAAUUUAGAUACAAAAUAAAGAACACAUUUGUUCUAACUAACUUAAUUAAUCCUAUGUGUGCAAUUAUUUUUUACAAUUAAACAACUCGAUUUGAUGUAGGAAUUUUCCUUGUACAAUUUAACUUGCUCGCUUUGCAAUUUCAUUUCAAAAAAGUAUAUGCAUGGCCUAGCCAUCAUGUCUUUCAAAUCAACAGCUCAUCAUAGGGCAUCUUUUUAAAAUGAGGGUAAUGCUGGCUUCACAUGCAGCUGCACAAUAAUUUCAAGAAUUAUUAAUCGUACCUAGCAUUGUUAGCAAGACAUUUAGGGCUGUAAUUAUGUGAAAAGUGAUGUUCGCCGAAUCAAUUAUAUAAGGAGAACUUACUGCAAAACAACUCUGUGUGGAACCCAUCUACUUGUUCUUUGUUUUUUUUAGGUCUGAAGUCCAUCUACUUGUUCACUCCACGCCAUUGAAGUGUAGUCUAUCUAAAAUGGUAAGGGUGCCCUAGUUUAGGCGUAAGUACUAUGUGCAGGGUUUUGGGUUUUUCUUUGUAGACAAAAACCUAGAAGUAUCAUAUCUACAUUGUUCUGACUAUUAAAAAAUUAGACAAAGGGGUAAUGAUUAUGCCAAAAUGAAUUUCAACAUCACUUUCGACCGACAAAAUUUCAUUUGCUUAUAUCGAAGCUCGUAUUGAAAUUUAUUAAUUUUAACAAAGUUAGAAUAUGUCAUCUGUCACGUAAUUUGGUGAAUAAAUUUUAUCUUUCGGUGCCUCUACAAUAUUAAAGCAUCAAAUAGUGCAAAUCAUGACAUCUUAUUUCAACGUUCAUUAACAGACCUUCAUACAAUCAAGGCAUCGGAUGCAAGUAGGGUGGUAGAUUUUUUCCCCUUUUCAACCCAAUAAUAUGAGUUAAAACAAUUAUAUGUGGAACACAAUAACACCGCUUUAAUAAUUCUAUCUAAAAGGGUAUAUGCGACAGCUGGCCAAGAGGUAUAUUCCAUGUACACAAAAUGUUACUUUCAACUACAUGCCAAUAUUUCUACAGCGAAAAUUCCAAAUCAACAUGCAAAGGGAAAAUGAAAUGGGAUGUACUUGCUGUAGUGCCUGUUUGGAUAGAAAGAAAGGAAAAGAAAAGAAAAGAAAAUUCAUUUCUUGGAGAAACCAGAAAUUGAGUUUUUCGUCCUUAUUUUCGAAGUGUCGCAAUCAAGUUUUUUUGAUAUAUUGAUGAGUCAUCCAUUGUAGAAGAAAUGGCAUCCAUCAAAACCUGCCACCAUUAAAAUCCAUGCAAAUCCACUUGUUACAAUUAUAUGAAGUCACUUGUGCAAAGCGACAUAUGAAUUUAAAGGGCGAUAAAGCCGAUGUAAUAUAUGUAGGGUCAGGCUGAGACUACUUUGUCUCCAAAUCUUUAACCAAAUCUAAUUUAACACUAAUUAUUAUUGCUCACUACAUCAAGUAAGAAAGAUUAAUAGUAUUUUUCGGUGUGAAUGCAUAAACGUAUCUGUGGAUUCUUAUUAUUUCGAUGUGAGCUUACAGCUUAGCAUAUUAACCUCACUUCAUAUAAAAAUUAUCUCCAAUCCUGAGGUCUAACUUUAUAAAAAAAAAUGAAAAUGACUUUGUAGGUCCAAAUCAAAAUGCAACGUGCCGACAAACACGGACUUAGUCAAGUUGGUUAAAGUGAAUGUGCUAUUCUCACUUUGCAUUCGAUUUCAAAUUCCCCUCCUUAUGAUUUAGAUUAGAUCUAAGUAAAACAUUGCUUAUAUAUAAAAGCAAUAUGCAGCUGUAUGCAGAAGAUUUGGUUGAAUAAUUGCUCUAUAUAAAAUAAUAGGUAAAGUACCUUGAUUAUCUUUUUUCCAACAACCCUGUUCCCUAUAUCUGCCCAUUGUUUAUAUCAUAAUCAAUCAAUUAAUUGAUUAACAACACCAAAUUCUUGAUACCUUCAGCAAAGACACGAUAUUUUCUACCCAAUUUAGUUUGUCGUUUGAAGAAAAAGAAGAAGGAAAAAAAAAACAUUUAGUUUGUCAGAUCAUAUCUUAUAGCAUGAGUGUUAUAUUUAAAACUAUAUAAGAAGGGGCAAAAUUUGGACAUACUUGGAUCAACUGUAACAAUCAUGGCAGUCCCUCCAAAAUCACAAGUGCCACCGGCAGCCCUGGUGCUCUGCCAGUAGCUGUUGAAGGCGUACGAAGCGUGGGACAACAAUGUGUCUGGUUUAUAGCAGGACCCAUUGGGCUGGAUUGACUUGCAGUCUGCACCAGACCCACACGCAUAGUCCAGGGCCUCUUGGACUAUUGGGCCAGGCACGGCUGGCUUGGCCACACACCACACCGCGCCAGACUGUGGUGGCUUUUUUCGUGGAGGGCUUGUGGGCCCUGAUGGUGGAGGGUAAGCUACAGGUGGGGCCAAGGCUGGUGGGCCUGGGAUAGGCUUGGGUGGGGAUGGAGGAUUUUUGGGUGGGCCUGGAAUUGUGGUGGGUGGGCCAGGUGGGUGAGGGGUGGGCCCAUUUGCAGGUGGUGGUUUUGGGAUGGGUGAGCAAGUGGGUGCAGAAGAUGAAGGGGAGGAGGAAGAUGAAGGAGUAUUUGGUUGAGGUGGGUUUUGGGAAAAUGGUGGAUUUGCACAGUAUGGAGGAAGAGGAACAUUUCCAGGCAAGGGAAGUGGUGCCAGUGAAUCAAAGGGUGGGAAAGAGAAGGGAGGACUUACCUCUAGUGGCUUAACAUUUGAGGAAGGCAAUGGUAAAUCUAACUCUAAGUGAUUUAUUGCUUUCAGCUUCUUCUCUAAUUCUGUGUCUUGGGAUUUUAAGAAUUGUGCAAAAAUUCUUGCAUCUGCUCUAAAACAAAGUCACAUAAUAAGUUGUUAAAAUUGUUCAAGUAGUGUGUCUUUGGAAAACCCAAAUAAAUAAAUAAAUUCUUGCUUACCACAUAAAAUGGAGAAAGUUGUGAAUGAAAUGGAGAUGAUGGCCAAUCUCAUGUAAGACAUUGUGGGCUGCAUCUCUUGAAAAGCCAAUGUGAUUAAAGGCAAAAUACCCAGAAGAAGCUGACUGAAAAUUUUGUGCUUAUUUAAUUCAUCCCUCAAGCAAACACUUGGGAUAAGUAUAUAUAGGCAGAUGCUUAGGCAGGCCAGAGAUGUGUGGGAGUGGUAACAAAAGGCGGUGGCCAUAAAGGAAAAUUAUCAACAUAGAGAGACUAAAGGAGAUUCCUGUGUCACAACUUUGUAGCCUAAGACUCAAAAAUAGUGUAAGAUAUACAACAUGCAGAGGACAAAGGUGAGGGAGAGAGAGACUAGAGAGUGUUGGUUUUGGAGAGGUGUACAAGAAACUUUUCUCCCUUUUUGCAUCUUCCUUUGAAUAUAUUCUUGCUUGGCAGUGGAGAAAUAUGAACAGUGGAGUUUUCUGCACUUUUAUUUGCUUGCUUUCCACUCAAAGUGAAACAAACUUCCACUCUGUUAAAGUAUAAGAGAUUUAGCUGAGUUUGUUACUUAAAUUAUGAGCCUUUGGAUCACAGUCCAAAUGGACAGCUAGGAUGUAUUCUUAGGUGUAGUUGAUUUGUGCCAAGUGUAGCUAUCUCAUAGGGUAGUUAAUGAUUGGUUAGAUUUGCUGAUGUAAGAGAGAAUAUUCUUUUCUUUUACUGUUAUAUUGGUAUGCACAGAUUGUGCAUGACUAAGUGUGAGAAUACAAUCUGAUAUUUUCAUCUUCUUCUUCUCCACGUUUUCUCUCUACAUUUUACUAGAGCUCCAUUCACCUAUAAUCCAAAAACAUGGCAGAUCAUAGUCUGCAAAUGCUAACAUGGUAUCACUGAGCCAGGUUUGAUCGUUUAGCUGGGCGUUUGAAUCUGUGAAGGAAGUGAGCUGCGUUUUCUAUCAAAUCUUGCUCUCUGUGAAAUCUGUGUCUAACAUGGCAGGAUCUGGAGGUGGUGAGCUGCGUGCUCCAAUCUUCAAUGGUGAGAACUAUGAAUUCUGGAGCAUAAGGAUGAAAACCAUUUUCAAAUCUCAUGGGAUUUGGGAGCUGGUUGAGAGAGGAAUAGAAGGCUCAGAUUCGAAGGGAGCUGAUGAAUCUGAUACAAAACAAAAGGAAAAAGAGGAAUCAAGUGGUUCUGGGAAGAUGGCUAUAGCUGAGAUCCUGAUGAAGGAUGCUAAGGCCUUGGGGUUGAUUCAAGGAGCAGUAUCUGAGGUGAUCUUCCCCAGGAUUUCUCAUGAAGAAUCAUCUCAUGGAGCCUGGAACAUCCUGAAGCAGGAAUUUCAUGGUGAUAAGCAGGUAAGAAGUGUAAAACUGCAGGGACUUCGUAGAGAAUUUGAAUACACUAGAAUGAGAGAGGAUGAAUCUCUAUCUGCUUAUCUUACAAAGUUGUUUGAUCUAAUAAACCAAAUGAGAGGUUAUGGGGAAGAACUAUCUAGAGAAAGAAUUGUGCAGAAAAUGUUAAUUAGUCUGCUGCCUGGAUAUGAUCCAAUCUGUUCUGUGAUUGAACAUUCAAGGGAUCUAGAUGUAAUUGAGGUUCAAGAGGUGGUAGCCUCAUUGAAGAGCUUUGCUCAAAGGUUGGAAAGACAUCAUGAGAACAAAACUGAGAAGGCCUUUGCUAGUCUGAGUACAGAUACCAAAUCUGCUAAGGCCACUGGAAAUCAGAAUUCCAAGCAGCAGAAGACUUGGAAAGACAAAGGGAAGAAGUGGGAUAAUAAACCUACGGAUGGAACUAAAACUCCUUGCAAACAUUGUGGGAAAUUGCAUUAUGGAGAAUGUAGGUUCAAGGGCAAACCAAAGUGCUAUAACUGUGACAAGCUUGGUCACAUUGCCAAAGACUGCUAUAGCAAGAAACCUGAACAGCAGCAGCAGCUUCAGUUUGCUACUCAGGUUACUUCUUCACCAACCAUGUUCUAUGCUAACAAUGCAACUGAGAAAAGGUCCAUGGAAGAGGUAUGGUACUUGGACAGUGGGUGUAGUAACCACAUGACUGGCAGAGAAGAUGUUUUGAUUGAUAUUGAUAGGAAUGUGACUGCAAAAGUUGCUAUGGGAACAGGACAGUUGGUUGAUGUUAUUGGAAAAGGAAGCCUGAUGGUUCAAACUAAAAUGGGAAGGAAAUAUAUCAAGGAGGUGCUAUUGGUAUCUGGUCUCAAAGAGAACCUACUCAGCGUUGGACAAAUGAUGGAGCAUGGAUAUUUCCUAAUUUUUGGAGAUAAUAAGGCAGAAGUCUAUGAUGAUAGCUCUCUUUCAAAUCUAGUGGCUAGAGUGGAUAUGAAAGGAAAUAGAAGUUUUCCUUUGAAACUUCAAACAGAUUUACAUAUUGCUCUAACUGCAAGCAUUAACCAAUCAACCUUGCUUUGGCAUAGGAGAAUGGGGCACUUAAACUUGCAGAGUUUGAAACUGCUGCAGAAUGAAGACAUGGUGUUUGGUCUGCCAGAAAUCAAAAAUACAAAUGCAGUGUGUGAAGGCUGUACUUUUGGAAAACACUGCAGGAAGGCAUUUCCAAAAGAAGCAACCAGCAGAGCUACAUCUCCACUGGAAUUGGUACACACUGAUGUGUGUGGACCAAUGCAAACUGUUACCAAAGCAGAAAACAGGUAUUUCCUCACCUUUAUAGAUGACUGUACAAGAAUGUGCUGGAUCUAUUUCUUGAGAUGCAAAUCUGAGGUAUUCACAGUGUUUAAGAGGUUUAGAGCCACUGUUGAAUUGCAAAGUGGAUAUAAGGUGAAGAAACUAAGAAGUGAUAGGGGAGGAGAGUACACCUCUAAUGAGUUCAAUAAAUUCUGUGAUGAAAUGGGAAUGGAGAGGCAGCUUACAGUGGCAUACUCACCACAGCAGAAUGGUGUGGCUGAGAGGAAAAACAGAACCAUAGUGGAGAUGGCCAAGUGUAUGAUGAUUGAGAAGGGCAUGCCACUUGAGUUUUGGGCAGAAACUGUUAAUACUGCAGUGUAUAUUCUAAACCGAAGUCCAACUAAAGCUCUGGACAAGAAAACACCAUUUGAAGCCUAUAGUGGGAGAAAGCCAGGACUUAAACACUUAAGAGUGUUUGGAUCUUUGUGCUAUGCACAUGUUCCAAAUCCACAGAGGCAGAAACUGGAUUCAGCAAGCAACAGAUGUGUGUUUCUAGGAUAUGGCAGCUGUGAGAAAGGGUAUAGACUGUAUAACAUUGCCACUGAAAAGGUGAUUAUCUCAAGGGAUGUGGUAUUUAAUGAAGAAGCUAGCUGGGAUUGGAAUGCAAAGCAAGAAUGCAGUGUUUCAGUGCCAUUUACUGAAGUUGUGUCUGAAAAGGAGAAAGGGAGCAAUGACACAGCUGUGAAGCAAGCAGAACAUUCAGUUGAGAAUGAAUUGCUAACAGAAGACAAUGAAGAAAGAUCUGUGGUUGAUACAGGUACUCAAGAUAUUGACCACACUCCAUUGAGAUACAAAAGUCUUACAGAGAUCUAUGAAAGCUGCAACAUCUGCAUCAUUGAACCAGAAUCCUUUGAAGAAGCUGUCAAGGAUGCAGCAUGGCAAAAGGCAAUGGAAGCAGAACUUGAGAUGAUAGAAAAGAAUGAAACUUGGGAUUUGGUAAAAAGACCAUCUGAUAAACCUAUAGUUGGUGUCAAAUGGAUCUUUAAAGUCAAGCUAAAUCUGGAUGGUUCUGUUCAGAAAAACAAAGCAAGGCUAGUAGCUAAAGGCUACACUCAAAAGCCAGGAAUUGAUUUCAAUGAGACAUUUGCACCUGUUGCUCGGCUUGACACAGUUAGAACACUGAUUGCUCUGGCUGCUCAGAAAAGGUGGAAACUGUUUCAGCUUGAUGUAAAGUCAGCCUUCUUAAAUGGAGUGCUACAAGAGGAGGUGUAUGUGGAUCAACCUCCAGGAUUUGUGGUUCAAGGCAAGGAAGACAGAGUUUAUAGACUCAAGAAGGCUCUUUAUGGUCUCAAACAAGCUCCAAGAGCUUGGUAUGAAGAAAUUAAUUCAUACUUUGCUGCUGCAGGAUUUCAGAAAAGUCCUAGUGAGGCUACAUUAUAUGUGAAAGCUGCAGAAAGUGGAAUCCUAAUUGUUUCACUAUAUGUAGAUGAUAUCAUCUACACAGGAAGCUCUAAAGAAUUGGUGAUGAGUUUUAAAACUGAAAUGAUGAAGAGAUAUGAAAUGACAGAUCUGGGAUUGUUGCACCAUUUUCUGGGAUUGGGUGUGAUACAAGCUGAGUCCUACAUCUUCUUGCAUCAGAAGAAAUAUGCAAGAACACUGUUGGACAAGUUUGGUUUAAAGGACUGUAAAGCAGUGUCAACUCCACUUGCUAUGAAUGAGAAGUUAUCCAAGGAGGAUGGAAGUGAACAGGCUGAUGAAAAGCUGUACAGACAGAUUGUUGGAAGCUUACUAUAUCUGACUGCAACAAGGCCAGAUAUCAUGUUUGCUGCAAGUCUCUUAGCAAGAUACAUGCAUGGACCUACUAAGAAACAUAUGGGAACUGCUAAGAGAGUACUUAGAUACAUUCAAGGUACUCUAGACUAUGGCAUUGCAUAUGAGAAAGGAAAAGAGGCAAUGCUGGUUGGAUAUUGUGACAGUGAUUGGUCAGGCUGUGAAGAUGAUAUGAGGAGCACAUCUGGCUAUGCCUUUCACCUUGGAUCAGGUGUUUUCUCUUGGGCAUCUGUUAAGCAGAGCAGUGUAGCUCUAUCCACUGCAGAGGCAGAAUAUGUUAGUGCAGCUGAAGCUACAGCUCAAGCAGUCUGGUUAAGGUUUGUUCUAUCUGAUUUUGGUGAAGAACAAGUUGAGGCUACAACAAUCCUAUGUGACAACACUUCUGCAAUAGCAAUAACAAAGAAUCCUGUGCAUCAUCACAGGACAAGACACAUAAGCAGAAGGUUUCAUUUCAUCCGAGAUGCUUUGCAAAAUGGUGAGAUUGAUCUGCUAUACUGCAAAACUGAUGAGCAGAAUGCAGACAUCUUCACUAAGGCUUUGGCAAGGAAUAGGUUUGAAUAUCUAAGGAGCAAGCUUGGAAUUAUUUCAGCUAAACACUUAGAAGGGAGUGUUAAAGUAUAAGAGAUUUAGCUGAGUUUGUUACUUAAAUUAUGAGCCUUUGGAUCACAGUCCAAAUGGACAGCUAGGAUGUAUUCUUAGGUGUAGUUGAUUUGUGCCAAGUGUAGCUAUCUCAUAGGGUAGUUAAUGAUUGGUUAGAUUUGCUGAUGUAAGAGAGAAUAUUCUUUUCUUUUACUGUUAUAUUGGUAUGCACAGAUUGUGCAUGACUAAGUGUGAGAAUACAAUCUGAUAUUUUCAUCUUCUUCUUCUCCACGUUUUCUCUCUACAUUUUACUAGAGCUCCAUUCACCUAUAAUCCAAAAACAUGGCAGAUCAUAGUCUGCAAAUGCUAACACACUCUCUCUCUCUCUCUCUCUCUCUCUCUCUCUCUCUCUCUCUAUAUCAGGCUCUACAUUUCUCAGGAAGCUAUUAACUUGUUAUUAAAUGGUUCCUUGGGAUUAAUAUUCCAAAAUAGUUUGACAUCCUUUCCAGCCUUAGCAAUCAUAUUUCACACACUAAUGCAUGUUUUUCAGCUUGAUGUGGUAUUAGUUGACUUCAAUAUUACAGAACUCUUGGUUCAUGCUCAUCACUGAACCUGAAACCUAGGAGUUUUUGUUUGGGAAUGUAACCAGGAAGAUCAAAAUAUACCAAACUUGGGAACGAGAGAGGUGCAUAAAACUUUUGCUCAUCAUCAAAGCUAAAUGUGUCAUCGUAGUUUGAGCAUAUUUCUUACUCUCUAUAUAUUUCAUUGCAGACACACAAGACUUUCAGUUUUAACUAAGAACAACUAAAAAGCCCACAUGAACUCCUUUGCUAGAAUUUGCUGAAAAAGAAAUUGUAAUCUUCAUUAAGCAGGCUUACAUAGGUAAAUAAAUUGUGUAGCUCUUAUUCUUGUUAUUAACUGUUAAAUUAAAAUCUCCAUGUCAUCCUGUUUUUUUUUUUUUAACUGUUUGGCAACACCACUUUGCCAUCCAUAAACUAUAACUAUUCUUCUCCCUAAGGGAAUUUUAUUAGGAAAUUACCCAUCUGGUAUGUAAAUCAUGUUUCAGAGUUCACAUUUAAACACAACCUUUAAACUUGGACAAUAAAUUAUAGGACCGUUGCCAACAACCCGACGCCAUCUAUAACAAGUGUGGCUUGAACUGUUCUUGAAUUUAGAAAGCAAAUUUAAGAAGCUCCAUUACUUAGCAUGUAAGUUUUGUUUCCGAGUUCAAUUGGAAAAAAUUAUGCUAUCGUUGGCAACUGUCCCUUGCCAUCUAUAACAAUCCAGGCUUGAACUUUUGUUGAAUUUAGGAAGCAAUUUAAUUAGCUUCACUACUCAAAAUGCAAAGGAUGUUUUUAAAUUUCAAAUUCAAACAUUAGGAAGCAAUUGAAUAAAUUAUGUGGCUGUUGCAACGGUCCCCUGCCAUAUUCGAUAUCUACCAUGUUUAUCAUUUAUGACCUGAAAAGGCAUAACAGGGCAACUAAGCUGACUCUAGUAUAAAUCUGCUCAAUUGUUCAAGUUAUCCAUCAUAUUGUGUUUGCUAAACCACAGCCUUAUUCAGGACAAUAAGAAAUAUGGCUGCAGACCCUUCCCCAAGGAUGCUAAUCACUCAUAAGGGACCCUGUGUCCGCUACAUUGCUUGGACUCCACUCUUGAAUGGUUUCUGGAAGCUCAGCUUCACAGGUCAUUACAAGCACGAAUCGAAGACUACUUCAGUCGGCUGCAUUUCUGAGAGAUCACAAUGCUGUAUUUAAAGCUGCCUUUGCGCAACAUGUAGAAAUGGUCAGCAGCUUUACAAGGGCUCAGUCGACUGCAGUCAGCUGGGCCCUUGAAUUAGCUAAAGGUGAAGGUGUCGAUUACCUUGAAAUCGAAGGAAAUCAUCCGUUUGUGUUUCGGAUGAUGUGGGGCGACAUCACCAGAACUAGCUCUAUGAUCAGGGGCUUGUUAAUAAAUGCAGAUGUGAUUUAAGACAGAUUAGGAGUGUGAGGCUCCGACAUGUCAACAUGUAUGGUAAUUUGGCUGCGAACUUGCUUGCGAGAAUUUCUUUGCAGCCUCAACAAGAGAGGUCAUGGUUUGGUGACCCUCCGGAAGAAAUAAAUGGAAUUCUAGUGAGGGAUGUGAUCGGUCGUUGGAUCGCUUUCUCGGACCUAUGAGUGAGUCAUCAUUUGGAUGACACAGAAGGACUUCGUGGAUUUCUUUCUUCAAGGAAAAAUCUGUUAAGUUGCUUUUCUUUUUGGUUAAGUAGCAGUUUGCACAUCUUUUAUUUUCAGAAAUGAAAUAUUUUGGAUUAGUGAUGAUUGUGAAGCCCUUGAUUUUUCUAAUCUCUUCCUUAAAGAAUUAAGAUGUGUGAACAUGUAACUACUAAGAACAAAAGUCAUCUGCUUAAUCUCACAUUUCAUUUUCAUUUUCUUCCUUUGUAGUUUAAUUGUAUUCCCUGACCUUUCCGGUACUGACCAUGACCCCUAUCUAUCAAAACCAAGUUCAAAUAAGGGAGAAUUUUUAAGGAGAUAUAUUGAUGACCUUGGGUGGAAUUUUUUCUUAGUAAAACUUUUAUGUGGUUUUACUCAAUAAACAAGUUACUCGUUUUACUCGACUUGAAUUUUUGCCUAUUUUGUCUAGAAUCAAUUACGUUUGAUGAUGAAACCAAUUACCAAAUAGUUCUUAAUCUAGUGAUACUUCUCUUCUCAACAAGUUACAAGGAUUCCGAACUCAAUUUAAUCACCUGUAGAAAUUACUUUGUCGCUGACAUGCCCGUGUGCCUUCAAAUGUUGAGGUCCAUUAGAAAGUGACCGUGCCUUUUAUCAAUAACAAACCCACAUGCCCAACUUGACCAACAAAUAAUAUUUUAAUAAAGUAACCGGUGCCUUUUAAGAAUGUAUUGUGGGAUGAAUUAAUGAUCUACCACAAUUAAAUGCAUUUUCAAAUAGCGAAAUAUUACAACAUCGCAGAGAGGUAUUGCAUGAUCUACCACUCUAGUUAUUCUGUUGCUGCAGUGCAGUGCAAUGCAGGUGUACAACUUAUUGUUCAACAGAAAACACAAAAUAACUUAACUUGAACUAAGUCCAUAAUAUAAAAAAGAUGAAGAGGCCAUGGACUGGAAACUCUGGAUCCAGAUGAUGUAGGGAUCAAGGGGUGUAUGGCCUUGGAAUAAGAUACAGAGGAGCUUUCUUAUGGACUGUGAGUCCGAACACUUCGGUCAUGUUCAAUGUGUCAGCCAAUUUAGUACCACCACUAGGCAACUUCCAAUCGAACCAAAACAGUAGGUUGGCAAGCACAUAUUCAGCUGAAGCAACCGCAAAGGCCAGUCCGGGGCACACCCUUCUUCCACCACCAAACGGGAGGAGUUCGAACUCUUGACCUACCAAACCGAUGGAGUUCUGCUCAAACCUCUCUGGCAUAAACUCUUCUGGCUUGUCCCAGACUCUGCGGUCUGUUUGUAUUGCGAAUGCAUUCACAAACACUUGUGUUUUCGCAGGGAUGUCGUAACCUCCCAAUUUUACAUCUGCAGUUGUUUCACGAGGAAGUAAAAGAGGACCUGGAGGAUGAAGCCUUAGAUUUUCGGUGAUUACACAUGACAAGUACUUCAUUUCCUUGAUGUCACUCUCGUCUACAUAUCCCCUUUUCCCCGCCACUCUUCUUACUUCUUCUUGGACUUUCUUCAUCACCCGUGGAUUUUGCGAAAGCUCAGACAUUAACCAUAGCAUUGAUGUCCAACUAGUAUCACUUCCCCCAACAAACAUGUCCUAAAUCAUGAAAUUAAAUAGCCAAAUCAAUCUUCAUCCAUAUAUAUUUUUAUUAGAAAAUUAGACGUAAAACCAAAAGUAUUAGGGUUUAUCAAUGUGCGCGUGUGUGUGGGUAUGCUCGUGCCUGUUCAAGAUAAAGUAAGUGAAUGAGUAUAAUGCGAGUAUGUAAGCUAGAGAGGGGGGGAUAUAGACCUGCAUAAGUCCUUUGACAUUGAACUCAAAAUCGAGCGAGCCAUCCUCUUCAAGGUCGAGGAGUAAAUCCACAAUAUCCUUCUUACGAGGCUUACCAUCUUUCUGCGCUGCUUUAUGUUCGUCAAGCAACUUAUCAUAAAAUCCAUCCAAUUCACGUCGAAUUGAUUUCAAACGUGCAAUGUAGCCUCUGGCAUGGUCAACCCAUUUCAAAGAAGGGUAGAAAUCUCCAAAGCUGAAAGUCAUCAUCUGAACCAUCAACUCCUUUAUGACCUUUUCAAACCAAUUGUCUUCUUUGUCCUCAAACUUCUGUCCAAGAACGCACCUACAGAUGAUGUUGUUGGAGGUUGACACCAGCAGCGGCCCCAGAUUGAUGGGAGCCCCGUUUGUGCUGGCGGAGGCUUUGCGAAUCUUGCUGACCAGCUCUGCACAUUCUUCCACCCUUGCGUACUGAAACUGCUGCACUCUUUUCACGCUCAGAAGCUCAAGAACAACCACUUUUCGAGCUUUUCUCCAGUACUCCCCGUAAGGAGCAAACGCAACGUUAUAGCCGUUGAAGAACAAUAUAGUUGCAGCUGUAGUUUGAGGCCGGCCAGAGAAACCAAUGUCUUGGUUCUUCAUCAUGUCCUUGGCCAGUUCUGCAGAUGAAACUACCAGCGUUGGAAGUUUGCCAAAGUGCAUGAGCAUUAUAUCACCAUACUUCUUCGACAGAUCACGAAGAGAGCGGUGUGGGAAUUUGCCUAGCUGGUGAAGGUUCCCAAUCAGAGGCAGUGUUGGUGGGGAAGGUGGCAGUUCGUAGUUUUUCCCACUUGAAGAUGAUCUUGUAAGUGAUAACAAAAUGUAUGCAGAAAGCAGGAGAAGAGGAAGCAGGAAAAUAUUGCUCUGAAGCUGUUGCCACAUUUCAUUGAAAAGUGAUAAUGCAGCCAUUGUUCUACUUUUUGCCUUUUGCUUUUGGCUGCUCACAUUAAAUUAAUAUAUGUGCCCUUCUUCUUCUUCUUUGUAUAGAGAAGCUGGCAUUGCAACUUGCAUGCGCCUACAAGGUUAGUUGUGAUCAACUUGUGAUGUCCAUGCCCCCCAAUUAUUUAAUGGGAUGCUUCGAUAUGGGUUCAUUUUUGAGUUUGCACUAUGAAUUCAGUUUAUCUUUCUUUUGAUGUAGAAUUGGGUCCAGCUCAGGCCAGCCAAGUAUGCAAAGCCUUGGCCAUUGUACAGUCAAUCCUCUGAAUUUUAUUAAUUACUGCAAUCAAUAAAUUAAUAUCACAUCUCUACGAUUAAUCUCAAUUUAUUAAAUGCUUUCAAUCUUUGAAUACCUUAUGAUGAGGUAUAUAUGUCUUUGGGUGGUUUGAUUUACCUGCUUUGCAGGUUUGUGUAUACCUCUUUCAUAGGUAAUUUCAUAUCAUAUAUCUCCUCCAUAGGUAAUUAAUAUAUACUUCCUCCAUAGAUAAAUAGCAUUCAGAUGUAUACCUCCUCCAUAGGUAAUUUACCUAUCCAUACCUAAUUAACAUUCAUGUAUAUUCCUAGUCCAUAGAUAAUUAUACCUCCUCCAUAGGACUACAAGAAGAAAAAGAAGGAAGAAGAAAGAUUGUGGGAAAUUUAGUUAUUUAUUUAUUGUAUCAGGGCAUGUUUAUGGGAUUUUCAAAAUUAAAAUGGAUGGACAAGAAAAUAUUUUAUAAAUUCAAAUCAUAAUUAACUAAAAGGUCAAAUAUAGUAAUUAUUGGCCUAAGAUUAAUUUCUCACUCUUUUAUGAAUUGCAAUCAGAAUCAAUAGUUGUAUUAAUUAGCUAAUUAUUAUGAUAUAAAUCAAUCUUCCCAAUUUAAAUCAUAAGGCAUAAUUGGAACAUGAAAAUAAAUGUAAAAAUAAAAAAUAUAUAUGAUUACAUCAUAAAAUUAGAAAAGGAAUGUAAUCCUAUGUGGCAUUAGAAGAGGACUUGGAUUACUAAUAAUACGUGUGUGGAUUGCACCCAAAUUCUACCGGAGAAAUUAUAGAAUGAUAUGGUAGUACCAUGUCAGCGUAUAGUACUCCCAUUUAAAUACAGCCACAUGUCCAUUUUAGAAAAGAAAUUAAUUACGUUUCACAACUGGACUUUUUAGUUUAAUUCUUAACUUUGGAAAUAAAAUUAGAAAAGAAAAAUUAAAAAAAGAAUUUCCUAACAGCCAACUAUCUCCUAACCCAACAACAACCCUAAUCCCAACUACCUGCUAUGAUGGCCACCCCUCUCCUUCCACUAUCUUCACCCCUGAUACUAAUUGUAGACAAGGGAUUUUAGAGGAAGGAGGAUUAAACUGGUAUUGAUGAUGAUGAAAUGGAGUAGUCUUGAUAAUUAAAAAUUGGUUCGUUCUUGAGGGUCUAUAUCUGGGUCUGAAAAUAUUCCAAGGUGGCAGUGGGUUGAAUUAACAUUGUGUAGAGUGUCAUAAGCGAAUUCAAAAAAAAUAUAUAUAUAUAUAUAUAUAUAUAGGGGAAUUAAGGAAGAUGAUGAUAUUAUUGGGUUUGGAUGUUGAUGGUUUUCAUGAGGAGCGGCGAUGGCAGUGGUGAAUAGAAAGAGAGAGGGGAGGAAGAGGAAGAGAGAAGGGUGGCUGCCAUGGUUUUUCUUCGUUUAAGUUUUCUCUUUUUCUAAUUUUAUUUCAAAACUUAAGAAUUAAUAAAGUAAAAAGUCUAGCUGUAAAAUAAUAAUGAAUUUCUUUUAUAAAAUGGACACAUGGCCGUAUUUGAGUGGGAGUACUAUACGCUAAUGUGGUAGUACCAUAUUAUUCUAUAAUUUCUCUAUUAUUAAGAAUUGGACUUAUACCAAAUUAUUUAUUAUUUAAUUAUAUACAAUAUUGAGAGAACUUGUUAGGUUCGUAACUUCACGGCCCUCCUGAAAUGAAUGUUGGGAAAUUACAUAAUGCAUUAAUUGAGCCGUUUUUACCAAAAUAAGGUGUCUUCCAAUUUUAGGUUUUAGCCUAGUUUCUUGUAUAGUUUUGUCUUUUUUAUUUUUAUUUAGUUACGUGCUUCAAUUAUUUUAUUUUUUUAUUUAUAUAAAUGAUAUUGAGGGAGGGUUUUUUCACACAUUGUAAUAUAUUAUGAGAAUUCGAACCUGAGACCAUUGAUUUGCAAGUUAAUGUCAUUUUCCACUGGGUUAGAUCUCCCUAAACCCUAUAAUAAUAAUACUCAAUUUGCCAGCUCCUAUUUAUCAUGUUUUAAUCAAGAUGAUGCUUAUCCGUCGGCUUAUGUGCUUCAUAUCUUGAUUGCACAAAGGGACUUUUUUAUUAUACGAAAUAAGAUAAUUUUUUGUUUUAAAAGUCUUGCUAUUUUUUCUCGUACCUUUCUUUGUGGUACCAACUAAAGAUAUAUAAAACUAUUAAUCUCUGUGCAUAAUUAAUUAAUUUGUCAAAUUGUCAAGAUGCACAUUGAAUUGAGGUCUCUCCAAACUCCAACUUGAUCAGUGUCAAAUUCACCACAAUCAAAAGGGAGGAAUUGAGUCACUUUCUUCCUUUACAUUCAGAACCAAGUAGGGCACUGCAAUCACUGACUUAAUCUGUAGCCAAAAGUAUUCAGCUUUUAAGGAGAAAAGGAUCAAGAAAAUGCGAUUUUGUGAUAGAGGCAAGUUUUAACAUGGAUUGAGAUGCCAAACCACAUGUGAGGCUUUCACCAACAACAUUUUCUUGCAUUAAAAGAAUCUCUAUGGGGACAAAAGAGGCCUUAAGACUUUUUCUACUUAAAGCAUAUGGUUUUUCCAUAUGAAUAGACUAAGAACCAUUCCUAUAUGAAUAGACUCGUACAAUUGUAUUUGAGUGUCAGCUAUUUUAAUAUAUUAUUUUUUAUACAAGUGAUAUUCUACUUUAAUUUAAUCUAUAUUAUAAGAAGAGUGAUUUGAACUCAGAUGCAGAAUAAAAAGCAUAUUUUUUUUUUUUGCGAAAGAAGAGCAUAUUCAUUUUAGUCAACUUAACAAAGCCCAUAUGUGCAAUUAUUUUUCACAAUUAAACAACUCAAUUUGAGGUAGGAAUUUUCCUUAUACAAUUAAAUUGCUUGCUUUGCUGCAUGCAAUUUCAUUUCCAAAAAGUAUAUGCAUGGCCUAGCCAUUAUGUCUUUCAAAUCAACUGCUCAUCAUGGGGCAUCUUUUCAAGAAAUUAUUAAUCGUACCUAGCAUUGUCAGCAAGACGUUAGGGCUGUAAUUAUGUGAAGAGCGAUGUUUGCCAAAUCAAUUAUAUAGGGAGGACCUACUGCAAAACUACUUGUUCUUUGUUUUUUUAGGUCUGAAGUCCAUCUACUUGUUCAGUCCACGCCAAUGAAGUGUAGUCUAUCCAAAAUAGGAAGGGUGCUCCAGUUUAGACGCAAGUACUAUUUGUUUUUUUUUGGUCGAAAGGCGUAAGUACCAUGUGCAGGGUUUUGGGUUUUUCUUUGUAGACAAAAACAUUGAAGUAUCUAAAACAUAAUUGUUCUGACUAUUGAAAAAUUAGACAAAGGGGAAAUGAUUCUUAUGCCAAAAUGAAUUUCAACAUCACUUUCUACUGACAAAAUUUCAUUUGCUUGUAUCGAAGCUUUCAUUGAAAUUUAUUAAUUUUAACGAAAUUAGAAUAUGUCAUUUGUCACGUCAUUUGGUGAAUAAAAUUUAAAAAAAAUGUAGUAAGAUGCCAAGCCACAUAUAGGGAUGGCAACGGGUCGGGUAGGGGUUGGGUAUGACGAUACCAUCCCCGUUCUCGCUCUCCAUCCUCGCCCCUAUCCUUGAACCCAUUCCCGUUUAAUCGGUUUCGACGAAUCCCCAUCUCCGUCCUCAUCGGGGGACUAUCCCUCCUACCCGCCCCGAAUCCCUGAUUUUUUUUGCAUAAAAAAAAUAUUUAUCAUACAUUUUUACAUUAAAUUUUAUAUUAAAUUAUCAUUCAACACAUCCAAAUUAACUAUAAAGUUCAACUAAAAAUCACAUCAAUAUGAAAUUCCAAAGAAAAUUAGGAAGAAUUAUGGGAGGGAGGUUAACUUAGGGUUAAACAUAAAUAUUGUAAUUAUAUAUUUAUUUAUUUAAAUAUAAACAUAUAUAUUUUCGGUUCGGGUUCGGAGAUGGGGACGCCAAUACCAUCCCCUCCCCAUAUUCGUCGGGGAUUUUUCAAGUUCGGGGAUCUCCAUACCCGAUACUCGUUUGGUCUCGAAAUCUCCUCUCUUUUGGGUCGAUGAUAGGGAUGGCAACGGGUCGGGUAGGGGCUGGGUGUGAUAAUACCAUCUUCGUCCCCGCUCUUCAUCCCUGCCCCCGUCCUCGAAUUCAUCCCCGUGUAAUAGGUUUUGGGGAAUCCCUAUCCCCGUUCCAGUCGGGGGACUAUCCCCCAUACUCGCCCCAAAUCCCCAGAUUUUUUUUUUGCAUAAAAAAUAUUUAUCAUAUAUUUUAAUAUUAAAUUUCAUAUUAAAUUAUUAUUUAACACAUCCAAAUUAACUAUAAAGUUCAACUCAAUCAUUCAAAAUCACAUUAAUAUGAAAUCCCAAAGAAGAUUAGGAAGAAUUAGGAGAGGGAGGUUAACUUAGAGUUAAAUAUAAAUAUUAUAAUUAUAUAUUUAUUUAUUUAAAUAUAAACAUAUAUAUUUUCGGGUCGGGUUUGGAAAUGGAGACGCCAAUACCAUCCUCUUUCCAUACCCAUCGAGAAUUUUUCAAGUUCAGGGAUCCUGUACCCGAUACCCAUUUGGCCUCAAAAUCUCCCCCCAUUAGAAUUCGGGACCCACCCUGGCGGGGAUUUUUGCCAUCCCUAGCCACAUGUGAGGCUUUCACUAACAACGUUUUCUUGCAUUAAAAGAUUCUCUAUGGGGACAAAAGAAGCCUUAGACUUUUUCUACUUAAAGCAUAUGGUUUUUCCAUAUGAAUAGACUAAGAACCGUUCCUGUAUAAAUAGACUCGUGCAAUUGUAUUUGAGUGUCGGUUAUCUUAAUUUAUUAGUUUUUAUACAAGUGAUAUUCUACUUUAAUUUAAUCUAUAUCAUAAAAAAAGGGAUUUAAACUUGAAUGCAGAAUGGGAAGUACAUUCAUUUUAGCAAAUUUAACAAAGCUCAUAUGUGCAAUUAUUUUUUACAAUUAAACUACUCAAUUUGAUGUAGGAAUUUUCCUUAUACAAUUAAAUGCUUGCUUUGCUGCAUGCAAUUUCAUUUCAAAAAAGUAUAUGCACGGCGCAGCCAUCAUGUCUUUCAAAUCAACUUCUCACCAUAGGGCAUCUUUUCAAGAAAUUAUUAAUCGUACCUAGCAUUGUUAGCAAGACAUUAGGGCUGUAAUUAUGUGGAAAGUGAUGUUUGCCAAAUCAAUUAUAUAGGGAGGACCUACUGCAAAACGACUCUGUGUGAAACCCAUCUACUUGUUCUUUGCUUUUUUUUAGGUCUGAAGUCCAUCUACUUGUUCAGUCCACGCCAUUGUAGUCUAUCUAAAAUGGGAAGGGUGCCCCAGUUUAGGCGUAAGUACUUUUUGUUUUUUUUCGGUUGAAAGGCGUAAGUACUAUGUGCGGCGUUUUGGGUUUUUCUUUGUAGACAAAAAUAUUGAAGUAUCUAAAUCAUAAUUGUUUUGACUACUGAAAAAUGAAAAAUGCUAGCAACCUUCUUUCUAACAUUUUCUUUUGGACAUUUUCUUUUCUUUGCUUGACAUGUGUCAUUCUCCUUACACUUAAAACAAUGUCAUUAAUAUAUUAUACAAGCUAACUUUUGCUUUUCAAGUUUACCCUUAUUAAAUGUAUUUAAUUUAUUCAAAAAAAAUUCAGAACUUUCUUACAAUAUCUUAACAUUGAAGUAUCUAAAUCAUAAUUGUUUUGACUAUUGAAAAAUUAGACAAAGGGAAAAUGAUUCUUAUGCCAAAAUGAAUUUCAACAUCACUUUCGAUCGACAAAAUUUCAUUUGCUUAUAUCGAAGUUGGCAUUGAAAUUUAUUAAUUUUAAAAAAAUUAGAAUAUAUCAUCUGUCACGUCAUUUAGUGAAUAAAAUUUUUUAAAAAUCUUUCGGUGCCUCUAUAUUAUUAAGGCAUCAAAUAGUGCAAAUCAUGACAUCUUAUUUCAAUGUUCAUUAACAGACCUUCAUACAAUCAAGGCAUCGGAUGCAAGUAGGGUGGUCCCUUUCUCAACCCAAUAAUAUGAGUUCAAACAUUAUAUGUGGAACACAAUAACACUCCUUUUAAUCAUUCAAUCUAAAAGGGUAUAUGCGACAGCUGGCCAAGAGGUAUAUUCCAUGUACACAAAAUGUUACUUUCAAUUUCAACUACAUGCCAAUAUUUCUACAGCGAAAAUUCCAAUUAAACAUGCAAAAGGAAAAUGAAAUGUGAUGUGAUGUACUACCUAGGGCUCGUCAAUGAGCCGGGCUGGGUUAGCCAGGCCCAAAUUUAAUGGACUUGAGUCAGACCGGAAUUUUUUAGAAAAUUCAAAACCCAAGUCCGACCCAUGAACCGGACUUGAGAAAGUCCAUCGAACCAAGCCAAGCUAAGCCCAACAGGCAGGGCCUAAACAGGCCCUACUUCAUUAAAAAAAAUCGUAAACUUAAUCAUAAGGACAUUUUAGUCCAAAUUUGAGAUUAAACUCACUUAAUUCCAAUAUUUUCACAUCAAAUCAAAUUCAUAAAACACCCAAUAAAGUCAUACAACUUAUAAGAUUUUCCACAAAAAUAAUAAAACCAAGUAUUAUUUUUGAUGUUAUUACAUAAUUAGAUCGUAAUACGUUUUAAGAAAUAAUUUUAAAAAAUAAUAAGUAUCAAAAAAAUAUUUUUUUAAAGGAUGGUAUGAAUAAAUAUGCAAAUAUUUGGUGAUGUGUUCAAGAAAAGCAUGAUUAUAUUUGGUGGUACGAUUAUGUUUCGUGAUAUGAUUAUAUUUGGUGAUGUGAUAUGUUGUUCAUCUUAUUUAUAUAUAUAUAAUUGUUGAAUUAAUAAUUGACACAAAUUAAUGUGCUAAUCAUCCAAUUAUAAACUAGGAAUAAGUAAAUAAAAGUAAAUAAAAUGAAACAAAUUAUAUAUGUGAUUUAAGUGAUAUAAUCAUAAACCUAAACUCUUAAUUAUAUAUAAUUAUAUAUGUAUGCGGGCCUAACGGAUCGGGUUUUUGUGGGCGGGCCGGGUCGGGCUUUCUUGGGCUUAAUUGGACCGGGCCUAUGAGUCGGGCCGAGCUUUAGACACCCAAGCCCAAGCCUAGCCCGGCCUAAGGCGGGCCGGGCCAUCUCAAAGCUCAUAACGGGCCAGGCCGGGCUUUUUUUCGAUGGGCCGGGUGAGCCCCCAUCAGCCCAUGAGCCUGCGGGCCAAAUGAUGAGGCCUAGUACUACCUGUAGUGUCUAUUUGGAUAGAAAGAAGAAUAGAAAAUUCGGUAUAAGUCCAAUUCCUAUGAUAGAAUUUGGGUACAAUCCACAUAUUUGUUGUUAGUAAUUUAAGUCCUCUGACUUUUGUGCAAUGUAGGAUUACUUACCUCUUUUUUUUUUCAUUUCUAAGGUUUAUAUUUUAUUUUCUUAAUUUUUUAAUUUAUGUUGUGCUUCCAAUUUUGCCCCUAAGAUAGAAAUCAAGUAACCUAAAACAGUAAAAUAUCAAAAAUCGCGUUAAACAAUCCUCAUACGACAAGAAUAGAAAGAAUCGCAAAAAUCGUAUCUUUCACAAUCAAUUAUGGUCCUGUCAAGCCGUUUCUGUAAAUUUCAUGCUUCUUAAUUGCCGAGGGUUUUGGGUUUCAUUUUAGAGUUGAAUUUGCAUUUCGUCUUCUUCAAUUGCAGCCGGGGGAAUUUGCCGUCAUUUGGGGAUUCUCACCUUGCUUCUCCAUCAAUUGCAGUGCCUGUGUUCCAGGUACACUAUUAGAGGUUACCUAUGCCAUAGGUACACUGUUAGAGGUUGCCUUUAGCUGUGGAAUUAUGCUGCUAGAGAUGCAAUUAGCAAGGCUAAAACCAUGGAAAUAUGACUUCUAUGUACUAGCCAUAGCUGUUUGACUCGGCUAACCCAUUGCUUAUUCAUAUCAGCACGAUUAUUUAGAUAUCUAUGUCCAGUUCCCUUUUUAUACAUAUGACUUAUGUAAUGAGAAGUCUGCUAUUUGUAUUGUAGAUUAAUCUUAACUAAAAGCAUCUAAAAACCCAGCUGGAACAGCAGAAGUUCGCUCCUAACUAUUUCAUUUGGUGAUACAGUGUUUGAUGCAUGGUAUGUUAUAGGUUAUUUAUCAAAUUCAUAAAACUUUCUAAAUGUAGAAGCUUUAGAGGUGAUCGUGAUUGCGUGAAUUCAUUUGCUGUUUUUGGCUAGAGUUAUGAUUUGUACUAGCCCAAAUGUUUUGUGUGCAAAUGUCAUGAUCUGUACAUAUAUAUUGCAUUUAAUUUUUCCUCUCUCCCUCCUUCAUGUUAAUGACUUAAGAUUAUACUUGUGAGUUUUACAGUCAUGUUCUUGUUUUGUCCAAGCAGUUAUGUAAAUCUUCAUUUGUGCCUUCAUUAUUGUAGGGCCUUUUUCGUUCCGGCAACUACUGAUGGGUCUAGGAUGCUGUAAAGAGCCAAAUGUGUGAAAUUGUCCAGAGUCUAAGUUUAAGAAUCAGACCGUAAGAGUGCUUCGAAAAGGUAGCUGAGCCUUAGGAAACACCUUGGUCUUCUUCACCAAUGAAACCAACAGUUGCUUACAGAUAAAUUCUUGGCUUAGCUUGAGAAGCUUGUGGCAUGAAAGCUAAACAUUCAUGAAUUUAGCAUGAGAGAGAGAAAGUGUAACAUCUAGAAAAAAAAAAAAAAAAAGAAGAAGAAGAAACCUGUAAGCCAAACAUUCAUUAUUCCAUUCAUUCUUCCCCCUCUUCCCUUAGAUUCUCUUCAAAAAUCUGAUUUUGGGAUGAGUUGUUCAUCUAUUUGGGGUGAGUCACCUAGUCUAGGUUAAGGAUAUUAAUUUCUUAAACAAAGAUAAGAUUGGGGAUGAAGGGGAUGAAGGAAAUGAAAUUUGGGUGAGGCAGAGAAUGGAGAAUAGGGGGAAGAGAAGAAAAAAUUCUCUAAGGUGAGUCAAUUUAGAAUUUGUGAUUUUUAACUUUGUGUUUGUGUGUUUCUAGUGCCUUAAAGAGUAUUUUGAGUCAUUUGAGUGAUGGGGAAAUUGAAUUGGAAGAGUUUGAAUUUCUAUUUUUGGGUAGGGUGCGUAGAGUAAUUUUUCAAGUGUGGGUGUUUAUGAUUUCGGUUUCAUUUUGAGUUUUUUUAUGAGUUUUAAUGAUAGGUAUGAACUUUAGAAGAGUUUUAGAAGCUAUAGGAACAACUUGGAAGUGAUAGAAUGGUUAAAAACAACUUAGAACCAAAUCUGAAAAUUUGGAUUUUCUGGAAAUUUGCAGUCCUCGAGCCUUAUUUUGGCUCUAUUUUUCUCCCAAUCCUUUGAGUGUUUGAGGAAGACAUUUGUUGGGUUUUAAACUAGACUUGGCAAGGAACAAAACACAAUCGGUUUUGUGGAAUUUGGUUGAGUUUUUAUAGGUCAAACACAUGUGCAUAGUUUGGAAAACAAAUCUGUUUUCUGCAAAAAAAACAGCCACGAGUCCAACUUUGGAGCUAGUUUUCUCAUUCGUUUUAUCUCCUUUUGAGUAUGGUUUGUUGGGUUAGAAACUAGAGGAAAUAAGCUUCAAAACCACUACAAGUUUGCCCAAUUUUGUUAACGUUUGGCUGGUCAAAAUGUCUCACAAAGUCUGAAUUUUUAAUCUGGAAAAACGGGAAGUUGCAGAUUUUUAGGGAAGAUGAUGAACAGUAACCGAAAACAAGCCCACUCGCCACUAGCGGACCUAGUAAGGCGUAAGGAGGUGCAGAUGCACCUUCCCUCGCCGUAAAACCAUUGUAUGUGCUUUGCCCCUUUGCUCAACUGGUGUACAGAUUACCUUAUUUUCAUUUUCAACAUUUAAGUAAAUGUCUUUGUCCUUUUACUUUUAUAUAUUUUUAUAUUACUCAAUUUACUUAAGUUUACAAUGUAAAUAAGGAAGUACUCCCCAUUUGAAUUCAAAUAAAAAUACUAGAAAAUCAAAUUCCCACCAAAUCAAAAUAUGAAAAUUCGAUUUUAGUGCAAAAUAUGAUUUAGGCUAAAAAUGAUAGCCUAAAUCAAGUUUUCUAUUUGAUGUGUAAGGAAUAAAAGCCACCAAAAAUUAUCUUGAGAAAAUGAUUAUUCCGAAAAACCAUUUUUCAUACGUACUCAAUAUUACACCUCCGCUAAAAAAUUUCUGGGUCCGCCAGCGCCACUCGCGGCUCCAGUGAGUGGCGGCACGUGGUGGCUGUUUCGGCAGCCUCCGACGCCAUAUUUUUAGUCCAUUCGACUCGAUUUCUCAAUUUGCGUUCAAUGGUAUAUGUUUUGAGUCAAUCCAUGGUGGUGCAAAGUAUGGAUUGUUGUGGGGCCCACGAGACCCAAACUAGUAACUUUUGGAUAACGGGUGUAGUUGGCCUUUUUUCGGUAUUGACAGGGCAUAGGACAGAGUUUUAGAUUAUUUUGGACGAGAUUUGGCCUCUUUGGACCCCGGGUUGGUCCUAAGGGCAUUUUCGUCAUUUUCACGCAAAAUCUUUGAAAUGCAUAAAGUUGAGGUUGGACUUAGGUGAAAUAAAGUGAAGAUUACUCAAUAAUAAUUUGGAUUUGAAUUUGUUCAGGAAUUAGAUCAAAAGUGUAGAUUCGACAAUUCCGAGAAUCUCCGAAGGGUAAAUUUGGUACUUUAGCUAGUUGGACAUGAGGUAGGGUUUCCUGAUUCCCGAUGAUUGGGCUAUAUCCCUUUUAAUCUUGGUGCUUAUAUAUAAUACUAUAAAUAUGAAUAUUAUUGUUGCUUUACUCGGUGAAUAUUAUUUGAUGUUAUGUGAAUAUUAUUAUUGAUGUUCCUCCAUGGAUAUUAUUUUUUAUGUUGGAUGAAUAUAAUUAUUCAUGUGAUUAAGCCUAAUAUAUAUUAUUGUUAUUAUUUGUGUUAUUAUUCUGCAGAGAUAAAUGAGGUUUGCACUGCAUUACAUAUGCAUCAUAAAGAUAGUGGUGUUUGGGGGUGUGUGUGUGUCGUUUGAGGUAUAUCUAAGGGGUGGGAGAAGGCCUUAAAUAUAUCUGAGUAAUAAAAAUGUGAAAUAAAUUCAAGUGAUGGGAGUAGGACUUGAAUAUUGAGGUGAUGGGAGCAGGGCCUCUAAUGAAAAGUGAAAGUUGAGAAAUUCGUAAACAAAAGAAAACUGGGUUAAGGGAUGGAUGGGCGCUAGUUCAUAUUUUAAGGGUAUUCGGAGCCACAAUGGUAACAUGCAUGGUAUGGGACAUGCAGGCUUGUUGCCCUAAGGUAUGAAUUAGUAGGAUUAGAAGGGAGUGAGUUCAUGGCAUCACUGCAUAUGCAAAUUUAUUUAUCUAGUAUGGUUGUAUAAUUUCUGUAUCUUGUGUUGUUUGUUGUAUGACACUUUGAUUAACUAUGAUAGUUGACCUUGAGGGGUUUGACAGUACUCUAUUGGGUAUUAGAAUGCUCAUACCCUAAUAGAUUGUGCAGGAUUCAAGGUGAAGUUUGAGGAAACGGGUUUCAACCAAGCUACUAAACUUUUGUUGUUGAUUUGUGUAAUUAAUAAUUGUAAGUAGUCAACCAUUUGAUAAAGAUCUUAGUGUGUAUUUAACUACGAGCUACUGCGACUCUGAUUCUGUGUUAAGUAAAUUUGUAUUCAUUUGUGGCUCUUUUUCUCAUUAUAUCAUGAUUGUAGGAUUUUAUUCUUAUGACUAUGGUAUGACUCACACCCUGAUUCGGGAAUAUUCCUUAUUUUCGAAUCGGGUCGUGACAGAAAGACCAGGUUUUCUACGAGAAACAGAGGUUAAAGCAAAGGAUUUCGUGAGAAUUUGCUUAGGAGAACUGCAAAUUCUACUAAUCUCCACAGUAAGGCUAUUAUUAACAUUUGGAGAGUAGAAAAUUUGAGACUUCUCAAAACUUAUAACCUGGCUAGAAGCUAGGCAAAAUCUAUCAAGACAUCUGAUUGGGGGUGGUGAAAAUUCACCUAACCCGAGCACCUUUCGAAAAAACAAGCUCCGAGCAUGAAGAAUGGCAGCCGGGCUUAAGGAGUUGCAGCCAGGCUUGAGUAGCGACCGGCCUGAAGAAGUAUCACGGCCGACCUUGGAGAAGUUUGGCGGUCGGGUCUUGGAGUUUUCGAGAAGAACGGUCGGGCGUGAAGUUUGGCCACCGGGAAAGAAGUUUGGCAGCCGAGUCUCCAAGAGCUUGGCUGCCGAGUUUGCAUCAGCUGGAAGUUGGAGUGGCAGCCGGGCUUGGAGCAGCUAGAAUCUAGAAGAGCUGCAGCCGGGCUUCUAGUGGCCGAGGCCAUUGGAGCUAGAGUGGCCGGAACCCAGAGCUGGUGCUGGGCUGAAGAAAUCCGGAUUGUACUCAAUGCAAUCGGUUUGUGGCUUUGAGGAGCUGUAACAUUACAGCUGGAAAAGUAUGGUUAGAGAGAUUUUAGUUGGAGUACUCUUUAGUUUAUAUAUAUAUAUAUAUAUAUAAUAAAAGUGAGUGGCCAUUUAAUAGGGUUGGAGGUUUGAAAGUAAUUUGGGCCUUUAGAACUCAAGAGCUCAAAUCUCAUGAGGGUCAGCCCCAUAUAAUUCCAUGGAGCCCAGAGGUCCAAGCCUAAGCCACGGAAUCACGCCCAAGAUUUCCAGACGUCAGUGUGCACGUGACGGAAGGCCUCACAAAGAAAGAAAUCAAAGAGGUUGAUGACAAUUCAAAAUUUUCUAAAACGAGAGAAAAUCAAGCAACCAUAAUAUCUCUGCCAACGUGAUUCAUAGCUAGAAAGGAAAGAAUUUUAAAAGAGUUGAAAUUUGGCCAUUCAAUGGCUAGCUCAUGCCAAUGGGCACCCUAUAUAAACCUCACCAAACGAAGGUAGAAGACACACAUCAUUAGACACAUAAAUCUAUUUUUCGUCUCACACUUUUCUUUUCCUAGAUUUAGGGUUUUACUUUUCAAGCGCCUAGUGUAGCGAGUUCUUCCUUUUUUCUAGUGUAAGUUUAAAUUCUUGUUCAAUUUACAUUCCUUGUCUUUUAAAUUCUAGUUUGUUUCAAUUGCUUUACUUUUCAUUGUUAUCGCACUUUCAUUAAGUUUAAUUUCAAGUUUAAUUUAGUUUGUCGUUCUUAUUGUUCUUAUUUCUUUCUUGUUUAUUUAUCACCUUGAUAUAUUUUAUCAUACUUUAAUUCUCGUCUUUACAUUAUUUAUUUUACGCACUUUACUUUACUCAUUUAUCUUUAAAUUAUAUUUAAAUUUAAGCAGCUUUACUUUAUGCACUUGUUCUUCGUUUCAUUACGUUGACCUUCAAUCUUCAUCUUCACACACUCCACGUCCUUUGGUUGCUCACAUAAAGGCUUGACCCCGAAGUAGUGAAAGAACUUAUGCCAUGAGGAGGUUCUUUGCUCGGCCGAACAAUCGUUUGAUUAAAGUCAGAUCUCGGACACAACAUGCACUCACAUUCCAUUCAAGCCAAAUUCGUGGCUUGGUGGUAGCACGCCCUGCACUCAAAAAAGAAGAAGGACCAAAAGUUCCUUCCAUCGGCCGCCUUGGCCGAAAAGAGGGAAACAACAUUGCUUCAUCACUCUAGCCUGUCUUGUACUAGCUUUAGCAAAAAAGAGCAGAUCAUCCGCAAAACACAGGUGGGAGAUCUUAGGGCCAUUUCUAGAGAUAUUUCCUAAAAUAUGAGAAUUAUGAGAGAAUAUUUCUUUGUGGGUAUUUUCUAUGUAUUCUUCUCCUUGUAGGAGGUCAUAUUUAUAAUACAACGAAACCUGAAUGGGCAAGUAAAUAAUAAAUUCCUAAAUCUAUUUAGAGUAGGAAAUUAUGAAUUAAAGUAAAUCAAUUACAAUUAUAAUGGGAAUUCUUGGUGUGUAAGGAAAGUAAGUCAAUAGUCCAGAAGUCACGCCAACACUCCCCCUCACGUUGGUGCAUAGAUGUCGCCAAUGCCCAACUGAUCCAGUGAAUUGUGGAAUACUUUACUGAAAAUUGCCUUUGUCAAAAUAUCUGCCAAUUGAUCCUCGGAUAUUUUGACAAAGUGUCGAUCCACGAAAAGAAACUGAAACACUUUAGCCUCAAGCUUUUGUUUGAUAAAGUGUCGAUCCACCUGUGUUUUGGUGUGUAAGGAAAAUAAGUCAAUAGUCCACAAGUCACGCCAACAAUAUUGACAGCUCUCCACUCUUUCUUGACAACAGCCUCACUAAUCAUGUGAGAAAGUUUCUCAAGACACCAAAAACAAAUACGGUGACAGGGGAUCCCCCUCUGUCUCACUCCUCUUGCAGGAACAAAAGGCGGGGUAGCUUCACCAUUCACAAGAAUCUGGAACUAAACCGUGGAGACACAUUGCAUGAUCAAUUGGAUUGUAGACUUAUGAAGAUUGAUCUCUCUAAGAACAUACUCCAGAAAAUUUCAGUUCACUCUGUCAUAAGCUUUAAAGAUGUCAAUUUUCCAAGUGAUAAAACCUUUUUUCACUCAAAGAAAAAACAAACUUCCACUCUCUCUCUCUCUCUCUCUCUCUCUCUCUCUCUCUCUCUCUCUCUCUCUCUCUCUGUAUAUCAGGUUCUACAUUUCUCAGGAAGCUAUUAACUUGUUAUUAAAUGGUUCCUUGGGAUUGAUAUUCCAAAAUAGUUUAACAUCCUUUCCUGCCUUAGCAAUCAUAUUUCACACACUAAUGCAUGUUUUUCAGCGUGAUGUGGUAUUAGUUGAACUUCAAUAUUACAGAACUCUUGGUUCAUGCUCAUCACUGAACCUGAAACCUAGGAGUUUUUGUUUGGGAAUGUAACCAGGAAGAUCAAAAUAUACCAAACUUUUGCUCAUCAGGUAAAUAAAUUGUGUAGCUCUUAUUCUUGUUAUUAACUGUUAAAUUAAAAUCUCCACGUCAUCCUGUUUUUUUUUUUUUUUAACUGUUUGGUAACACCACUUUGCCAUCCAUAAACUAUAACUAUUCUUCUCCCUAAGGGAAUUUUACUAGGAAAUUAACCAUCUGGUAUGUAAAUCAUGUUUCAGAGUUCACAUUUAAACACAACCUUUAAACUUGGACAAUAAAUUAUAGGACCGUUGCCAAUGACCCGACGCCAUCUAUAACAAGUGUGGCUUGAACUGUUCUUGAAUUAGAAAGCAAAUUUAAAAAGCUCCAUUACUUAGCAUGUAAGUUAUGUUUCAGAGUUCAAUUGGAAAAAAUUAUGCUAUCGUUGGCAACUGUCCCUUGCCAUCUAUAACAAUCCAGGCUUGAACUUUUGUUGAAUUUAGGAAGCAAUUUAAUUAGCUUCACUACUCAAAAUGCAAAUUAUGUUUUUAAAUUUCAAAUUCAAACAUUAGGAAGCAAUUGAAUAAAUUAUGUGGCUGUUGCAACGGUCCCCUGCCAUAUUCGAUAUCUUCCAUUUUUAUCAUCUAUGACUUGAAAAGGCAUAACAGGGUAAUUAAGCUAACUCUAGUAUAAAUCUGCUCAAUUGUUCAAGUUAUCCAUCAUUGUGUGUUUGCUAAACCACAGCCUUAUUCAGUCGGGACAAUAAGAAAUAUGGCUGCAGCCCCUUCCCCAAGGAUGCUAAUCACUAAUAAGGGACCAUGUGUCCGCUACAUUGCUUGGACUCCACCCUUGAAUGGUUUCUGGAGGCUCAGCUUCACAGGUCAUUACAAGCACGAAUCAAAGACUGCUUCAGUCGGUUGCAUUAUGAGGGAUCACAAUGCUGUAUUUAAAGCUGCCUUUGAAUUAGGAGUGUGAGGCUCCGACAUGUCAACAUGUAUGGUAAUUUGGCUGCGAACUUGCUCGCGAGAAUUCCUUUGCAGCCUCAACAAGAGAGGUCUUGGUCCAGAACAAAUAAGUGGAAUUCUAGUGAGGGAUGUGAUCGGUCGUUGGAUACCUUUCUCAGACCUAUGAGUGAGUCAUCAUUUGGAUGACACAGAAGGACUUCGUAGACUUGUUUCUUCAAGGAAAAAUCUGUUAAGUUGCUUUUCCUUUUUGCUAAGUAGCAGUUUGCUUAGUAAUGAUUGUGAAAAGCCUUUGAUUUUUCUAAUCUCUUCCUUAAAGAAUUAAGAUGUGUGAACAUGUAACUACUAAGAACGAAAGUCAUCUGCUUAAUCUCACAUUUAAUUUUCCUUUUCUUCCUUCGUAGUUUACUUGUAUUCGCUGACCUUUCCGGUACUAACCAUGACCCCUAUCUGUCAAAACCAAGUUCAAAUAAGGGAGAAUUUUUAAGGGGAUAGAUUGAUGACUUUUGGGGGAGUUUUUUCUUAGUAAAACUUUUGUGGUUUUACUCAAUAACCAAGUUACUUUUUUUACUCGAUUUGGAUUUUUGCCUAUUUUGUCUAGAACCAAUUACGUUUGACAGGGAAACAAUUAUUAAAUAUUUCUUAGUCCAGUAGUACUUCUCUUCUCAAUAUUAAAAGAGAGUCGAAGUUUGAAUCCCUUCCCUAUAAACCAAAAAAAUGAUUAUUCCUGAAGCACUGACACUUUCUCAAGACUAAGCAUAUGAUAUGCGAAAUUACUUACUGACUAGGAUCUUGAUUUCUUAAGAACAAAAUGGAAAUUAAAAACCCAAAAAGCAAAAAAAAAAAAAAAAAAAAAAAAAAAAAAAAAAAAAAAAGAAGAAGAAAAAGUUAGCUGGGAGAUUAUCUGGGCGUUAAUAGAACCAAGCCAGUGGGCCAAAUCAAUCAUAUUAGAUUAUUUUGGGCCUGGGCCCGAUUAAAAAAGAUUUGGUCAGACACAUCACGUUUGUUUUUGGCCGUUGGACAUCAUAUUCAGAUGUUAUUAUAGUCAAAAGACUUUAAGAAAACACUAACACCCAAGCCAACGGUAACUUUCUUGUCUCUGUCUUCUCCUUCCCCUUUCUGUCUUCCCCUUUGCUGCUCCAAAUUCCAAUUAAAACCCCAAAACCAAACUUCACCAACACAAAAGUUCUUAGCUUUACAUCACAAAUGGCAUUAAAAGAAGCAGCUUCACUCACUUCACUGAAACAACAAGAACAAGAAGAAGAAGAAGAAAGAGAGAGGUUCAUAGUUUUGAGCAGCACUUGCAAAGUGGUGGAGUAUUUACAGCCAGUGAUGUCAAAAGAGCUUCUCUGCAAGUUUCCAGACAACUCUGCUUUCGAUUUUGACUACACUCAGAGUUCAAUAUGGUCCCCUUUGGUCCCUCGAGCUCAUGCUCCCAUGGAUUUGGACUUGGAUUUCGAUUUCAUGACGCCAAGGAAGCUCAAUUUCGAGAUGGGGUUGGAGUUGGAAAGUCAAAGCAGCAUCAAGAAAGUCAGUUCUAGUAUUAAGAAGAAGAUCUCCACCGCUGGAUUUAAUAUUAGCAGGAGUGCGUUGAAGAACAAGAAGAAGAAGAAGAAGAAGAAGAAGAGCAAGAUGGCAUUGGCUUCUGAUUUCUCUCCAACUCCUGUUAAGGUUCAUUGUAACCCCUUAGCCUCAAAGGUACUGCCUUUUUCAUCUGGGUUCUUAGAUCUUUCUUUUUUAUUUAUUUAUUUUAUAUACAUAUUUUUAUAAGCUGAAAGAAUCUGGGUUAGAGCACAAGGUUUAGAUCACUGAAUCUGAGAUUACCCUUUUGAGAUUUUCUCUGAAAAUGAUCUCAAUUUACAAGCUAUUUGAAGUAAAAAUAUGAAAUUUUUGGGGAAAGAGAUGAGAAUUUAAGGCAACCCAUAAAGAUGCAGUUGUUAGCAUCAAAGUUUUGGGAAUUUGUUUUCUGCUUUAGCGCCAAUUUCUCUGUUUUGCAGGGGAAGAACUUAGAACUAAAAUCAAUCUGGUGACUGGAUUUCUAACAUAUGAAGGUUCUGUCAUUUGUGUUCAGGUAUGGAAUAAGGUGCUAAAAGCUGCCUCUAAACAUUUCAAGAAAAAGAAGAGAGAUCCCAUGGACCAUGUGAGGCUCUCCAAUUAUCUGAGAGAUGGAAAUAUUUGAAGGCUUCCCCCAUUUGUAAUUCUUUUUUGUUUCAUUAAUUUAUUUAUUCAUUUAAUUGUCUUUUUAACCUGCAUUCUCAUUAACAGCAACAUUAUUAGCAUUUGGAGUUAAACAUUCCUCCAAAACAUUUAUGCCACUUAGAAAGAGAUUUAGUUAGAGCGGAUGUAUUUUGCACUUGGGUUUAAAUCCCUAAUUACAGAUUAGAUUAAAGUAGAACGUAAGAUUUACUCAAGCAAAGCAAACCACGCAUUCAUAAAAGUCUGCACUAAAAUUGUGACCCUGCACACAAAAUCAACUGCUUUAAUUAGAACUUGCCAACAUAACCUCAAUCAAGCUUUCAAAUGAAGCAGAUGAAGACCCCCCAUUACCAACAGCCCUCCUACACGCUCCACUCAUCUCCUGCACCUUCUUCCUCAGCUCAUCAUUACCGUCCAUCACACACCUCACAGCCCUCUCAAUCUCAUCAGCCACCACAAAAUGAUCUACACCGUCCUUUCUGUAGUUCAAUCUCAGCUCCACAGCCAGCCCCAAGUCCCUCACCAUCUGAAACGCAUUGAUCUGCUGCUCCGCAUACAGAGGCCAAGUCACAACAGGCACCCCAUGCCACAGGCUCUCCAUUAUUGAGUUCCAACCACAGUGUGACACGAAGCCCCCCACCGCCCUGUGGGCCAGGAUCUCCACCUGUGGGGCCCACCCACAUAAAAUCCCGACCCCACUGGUCCUCUCCAAGAACCCUUGAGGCAGAAACUCCUCGUGACUUGUGUGCUCCUCUAGCACCACAAACUUGCCCUUGGGCGGGUCUUUGCGCACGGACCACACGAACCUCUGCUUACUCUGCUCUAAGCCAAUAGCAAUCUCUCUCAGCUGGGCCUCAUCAAAGCUCCCAGAGCUCCCAAAGCAGAGGAACACCACUGAUCUUAAAGGCUGAUCGUCAAGCCACAUCAUGACUUUGUCAAAUUUGCUCUGAUGAUCAGAAUGCUGCGCAGGAUGCUCGCCUAUCAGGGGCCCAACUGUGUAAACAGGAGGGGUUUCACCAUCCGAAAGUGAGCCAACCGCAUGGGAUUCGAGCUGAAAAAUUGUGUUAACGAUUAUACCCUUCGUUUCCUUGAACCUCCUGGCAUGGUUUGCGAAGGAAAUGUACCCUUCGCUGCUGAAAGCAAAUGAAGGAAUUACGCUUGCAGGAACAGGGUUGACAUAACUCGGUACCACUGACUCGGAGUCCGAUUCUUUAAACACCGUGCCGACUCGGUCGUAGCGGCUCGAAAGGUGGAGCAGGAAGCCGAGAAAGCCAGCACCAGAAGUGAAGAACAGAAAUGAUGGAACCUUGAGUUCGUUGGCCACGUCGAUCAUGGUGGUGCAGAACAUAUCAACCACUAAACCAGAAACAGAGCAACUGGGCAAGACAUGGCUGGCUAUGGCUUCUCUCACAUGGUUCUUGUAGCCCUCUAUGUAGACUGUGAUGUAUUUUUCCACAGACUGUUGAAGAAACUCAAGUGGGCGGUUCACAGUGGGAAGGUCUAUGAUUUUGAUGUGGCCGUGGGAGACAGCAAGCGAUUGUGCGCUGGUGUUUGAGUUCAGAGUAGCAGAGGGUUCAAAUGGAGGUUUCAUGACCAGGAUUGUGAUUGAGAAUCGAUCACAGACAUCCAAUAAUCGUUUCGAAAACUCUAUUGCUGAUACAAGAUGGCCAACGGCCGGUGUGGGAACGAAAACCAGCUCUGCUCUCUUCAUGUUUUGUGCUGCUUUGUUUGCUCACUCUGUUGCUUUCUUGAUGGUGCAUGUUUGACAUAUAUUGAGAGCACUUGAGGUGGAUGAAGGAUGAUUGACGUCUUUCAAUUUUAUGUGGUGUAGGCCAACUCUGAGAAUAUAAAAAAAUUCCUUGUCAAAAAACAGAAGAGAGAGAGAGAGAAAUUCCCAAUGAUAAUGAGGCAUGUAAUGUGGGCUCACCGAAUCUAAGAUGAUUGUUUAAUGAAGGGAUCCGAGGUGGAUAAUGAGGCAAUCGGUCAAACUAAUCAAUUGCAUUCAUCAAUGAUAAUGAGGCAUGUAAUGUUGUCAAACUAAUAACAUUCUUCCUACUUAUCCACCACGGUGUCUUGUUAAUUAGAUGAUUGGUUUGGUUGUGUGGUGUUGUUUAAUUUAAGUCAUCGCAUUCAUCAAGCACAAGUAGUCACGAGAUUGAUUCGUGGUCCAUAAAACGCAGCCACCACCAAAGGAUGUGAUUGAUGACAUUAAUGUGAUUUGCUCAUAGUUUAUAAAACGGACUGUGCUUUUCAAUUUUUAAAAAAAUCACUUAUAAUCUCAAAAAAACAAUAAUAAAGUAGGCAUUUUGAACGAAAAUACCGCAAAAUUGCAUUUACCGAUCGCAUUUUAACCUCAUAAUUGACAUCGUCAAAACCCACCACAAAAUUAAAUAUUAUAUUUAAAAUAUAUAAUAUACAAUUCAAGAAUUAAAAAAAAUAAAAAAGAUAGCCAUUUGUUGGGCAUGCCAACACUCAUGCAUUGCUUAUGCGCCAAACCAAAGCCUGUUUUUUUCUUUAUUUUUUUAUUUUUUAUUUUUUACUUCUUUUUCUUCUCCCUCUCUCUAUUUUUUUCGAUCUCUCUUUUCUUUCUUUUUCCUUCUCCUCUUCUUUUCUCUUUCUAUUUUUCCUACUUCUUCCUCUCUCCGUCGCUUUCCAUCUCUCAUCUCUAACUUCUUCUCUACCUCUAUCUUUCUUUCUUUCUUCCUCUUUCUUCCUCUCUAUGUCUGUUUCCAUCUCUUCUCUCCCUCUUUCUUUUUUUUUAGGCCUAGUUAGGGUGGUGGAUUUUCUGGGAUUGCUUGGAUUGUUUAGGCCCAAAACAACACAAUCGGUGGAUACCGUUGUGGACAUUGACCGAUUUGCGAUUCCACCGAGUUGCGAUUAACCUCAACUCUUUGGCUGGUUUGCGAUCUCAAAUAAUGCAAUACCGCGAUUUCUCGGGCGGUUUGCGAUUUACAUGAAAUUUUGAGGUUACAGUACCACAUCCACCCCUAAGUUAGUUUUGGGGGAGAGAAAGAGAGAUCGAGAGAGAUCAUCUUCUUCUUUGGUCCAAGCUACUUUUUCUCAGCAAGGAGAUCUUCCCAUUUAAUUAAAAACUAAAUCUUUUUAUGAAAAAAAGUAGAAGAAAAAGUAGAAGAAGUAGCUACUAAAGGUGUUGUUCUUCUAGUUGUUUAUAUUCUUUGUUAUGUUGUGGAAAUUAGAAGGAAGAAGGAUAAAGGAGCGGAGAGCGACUGGGGAAGUCGCUUGGGCUGGUGUUGCUAGGGAGAGUUGGAUCUGAGUAGGGUUUUUUUUUUUUGUUUUUUGUUUUGUUUUUUUAUAUUUUUUUUAUAUAUAAUUUUAUUUUUAAAGCAUAGAGAAGAAAGAUUUUUUAUUAUUAAUUUUUCCAAUAUAUAUAUAUAAUUAAACAAGUAAUUACAUUAUUUUAUUAUAUAUUUAAUUCAGUUUAAACAAAAAAAAAAGGGUCAUUCACAUGACACAUCAUCACUUGUUGUAAAAAGAUUAAAAUACCCAUGUCACGUCAUCAAAAUUAACAGAGUUAUAAUAGAGAUAACGGAAGGGGAUAAAGUGGAACACGAAAUCACGAUCAAGGGGGGUUAAGUAGGUCAUUUUAAUUUGGGAAGAUAAAAUGAGAUUUGACCGAAGUUUCAGGGAGUACUGCAAUAAAUAGGCCAUUCUCUUAAGCAAAAUAUAAUUCUUUAUUUUUUUUCUUUUUGAAAACAUAAUCUAUAUAUAGAAAUCAAAAGGCAGAGAAUGGUGAAACAUUCAAAAUACCAGAAAAUGCCCUUGGUUAAUGCAAACAUUAAGAAUUCAAAUUAUUAAUUAAAUGAGGAUAAUAUGGUAAAUUCACACUUUUUCAUAUUUAAAAAAAUUAAAAGAAAAAGAAAAAACAGAUAAUAGAUCCUAUUUUUAUGGAACACAACUACCCAUUAUCUUUUUUAAUUCUAAAAUAAAUUUACUUAUUUUUAAAAAAAAAACCUCUCGCAAGCGCGGAAGCGCGUGCGGAGAGGCUAGUCUAUAUAUAAAGAAAAAGGCAGAGAAUGAUAAAACAUUAAAAAUACAAGAAAAUGCCACUGAUUAAUGCAAACAUUAAGAAUUAAAAUUAUUAAUUAAAUAAGGAUAAUAUGGUAAAUUCAUACGUUUUCAUAUUUAAAAAAAAUCAAAUGAUGGAUCCUAUUUUUACGGAACACAACUACCCACUAUUUUUUAAAUUCUAAAAUAAAUUUAAAUUUUUUUAAAAAAAAGCCUCUUGCAAAUAUUGAAGCGCGUGCGAAGAGGCUAGUAUUACUUAAAAAUGAAAUCUUAUGUAAGAGUCUCUUUGUAAAGUGUAAGCGUAAGAAAUGAAUUUUCGUUUCAAGCGGUUCAAUUUUAGGUGGGAAUUCGUUUGUAAAAAAUAAUAUAUAUAUAAAUUAAACAAAACUUCGGCACUAAUUGUUUUGCAAAUCAAGAACUCAAACUUCCUCCAAGUAAGGCUCCAAGGGGGAGUAUGUACGCAACGAGAUAUACACUUGAAGGGGUGAUUCUGUCCAUCCAAUUUAAAUUUUGGCUAAGGUUAAACUUCGACUAGUUUAAAAUAGAAAACUAAUAAAUUUAUCAUAUUUUCUCUUCAUAUAAUGUCAUAGUUAACGUGUGUUUAUCAAAGUAAUUAAUAUGGUCAUCAUCAUAUCAUCUCAUGUCAUAUCAAAGUAAGUAAUACAUUGCUCUAAGCAUUUUGGGGUUUAAAUUUAGUAAUUUUACACAAAGCAAGCAGAGGAAAACAGAGGCCUAGCUAACUGCCAACCAACCAAACAAUAUCACAAUCCACAAAUUAGGAGGGAAAGUUCAGCAGAGUAGCUCAUUCACCGCCUACCAUUACCAUGGCCUUCUCUGCUCUUCCUCUACCUCUCUCCACACCCUCUCCCUCCACUCAAACCUCAAUAGCCAACCCUCCUGAAAACCUCUCGUCCUCAGCCCUCCCACUCCCAAAACUCAAAACCCCAACCAUUCGCUCCCGCCUCAGCAAACUCUGCCAAGAAGGCCAACCUCUCCUUGCCCGCCAAUUGUUUGAUACUCUUCCUCGCCCAACAACCGUUCUCUGGAACACCAUCAUCAUUGGGUUCAUUUGCAACAACAUGCCCAAUGAAGCCCUUUUGUUCUAUGCCCAGAUGAAGGCCUCCUCUCCCCACAUCAAGUCUGACUCGUACACUUAUUCUUCUACCCUGAAAGCGUGCGCUGAUACCCGCAAUUUCAAGAUGGGUAAAGCCCUGCAUUGCCAUGUUCUUCGGUGCCUACCGAAUCCCAGCAGGAUUGUGUGCAAUUCACUUUUGAAUAUGUACUCUGCUUGCUAUAAUGACUUUGAUUAUUCCGAGUAUGAUUUAGUACGUAGAGUGUUUGAUACAAUGCGUAAGAGAAACGUGGUUGCGUGGAAUACGUUGGUUUCAUGGUAUGUUAAGACUCAGAGAUAUGCAGAAGCAGUCAAGCAAUUUAAGAUGAUGAUGAGAAUGAGAAUAACACCGAGUGCUGUCAGUUUUGUCAAUGUUUUCCCUGCCCUUUCCGCUAUGGGAGACUAUAAAAAUGCGAAUGUUUUAUAUGGUAUGCUUCUUAGAUUGGGUGAUGAAUAUGUGAAUGACUUGUUUGCCGUGAGCUCAGCCACAUUUAUGUAUGGCGAACUUGGUUGCCUUGAUUAUGCUAGGAAGAUUUUUGACCAUUGUUUAGAGAGAAACACAGAGAUUUGGAACACCAUGAUUGGGGCGUAUGUUCAAAAUAACCUUCCUAUUGAAGCAAUCAGCCUUUUGUUUCAAGCUGUGAAGUCAGAACAGGCUAUUCUUGAUGAGGUGACUUUUCUUUCAGCUUUAACUGCAUGUUCACAGUUUCAACAGUUGGAAUUAGCUGGACAACUACAUGCUUUUAUUAUCAAGCAUUUGAGAGUGAUGCCCGUUAUUUUACAAAAUGCAACUAUCGUGAUGUAUUCAAGGUGCAAUUCUGUUGAGAUGUCUUUCAAAAUAUUUCAUAAAAUGCCUGAGAGGGAUGUUGUUUCGUGGAAUACUAUGGUUUCUGCAUUCGUUCAAAAUGGGUUAGAUGAUGAAGCUUUAAUGCUUGUUUCUGAGAUGCAAAAGCAACAGUUUAUGAUUGAUUCCGUAACUGUAACUGCUCUACUUUCGGCUUCAUCAAAUCUUAGAAACCUGGAUAUUGGAAAGCAGACCCAUGCUUAUCUUAUUAGGCACGGAAUACAAUUUGAGGGGAUGGAAAGUUAUCUCAUUGACAUGUAUGCUAAAUCUGGUUCAGUAAGGAUUGCAGAACGAAUUUUCAAAACAGAGUAUACCCAUGAUAGAGAUCAGGCCACUUGGAAUUCUAUGAUUGCUGGAUACACACAGAAUGGGCUAACUGAAGAAGCUUUUGUUGUCUUUAGGCAGAUGCUUGAGCAGAAUCUAAUACCAAAUGCUGUCACCUUAGCAUCAAUUCUCCCAGCUUGUAAUCCAGUGGGAAACAUAGAUAUGGGUAAGCAGCUCCAUGCGUUCUCUAUCCGCCAGUACCUUGACCAAAAUGUAUUUGUCGGAACUGCCCUAAUUGAUGUGUACUCCAAAUGUGGCGCAAUCACUUAUGCUGAAAAUGUAUUUACUGGAACCCAUGAGAAGAAUUCUGUCACAUACACCACAAUGAUACUGGGAUAUGGUCAACAUGGAAUGGGUGAGAGAGCUCUCUCUUUGUUUCACUCAAUGCAGAGAUCUGGCAUUGUACCUGAUGCCAUUACCUUUGUUGCAGUCUUGUCUGCCUGUAGUUAUGCUGGUUUGGUUGAUGAAGGUCUUUCUAUAUAUGAUUCAAUGAAAAGGGAGUACAAUAUUAAACCAUUAACGGCACACUAUUGUUGUAUAGCAGACAUGUUAGGGAGAGUUGGAAGAGUGGUUGAAGCUUAUGAAUUUGUCAAAGGGUUGGGUGAAGAGGGUGAUGUGACGGAAAUUUGGGGAUCACUCCUUGGGGCGUGCAGAAUUCAUAAACAUUUUGAAUUGGGAAAGAUUGUUGCUGAGAAAUUGCUUGAAAUAGAGGCAGGAAAUGGCAAGACUGGCUACCAUGUCUUGCUCUCAAAUAUUUAUGCCGAGGAAGGAAAGUGGGAAAAUGUUGACAGAGUGAGGAAACAAAUGAGGGAAAAAGGCUUGAGAAAGGAGACUGGAUGUAGUUGGAUUGAGAUUACCGGUUUUCUGAACUGUUUUGUGUCUAGGGACCAAAAGCACCCCCAGUGUGAUGAGAUAUAUGAUAUGUUGGAGGAAUUGACUACGACGAUGAAAGAUACUGGUUAUAGGCCUUCUCUCAGUUCCCCUCUAGAUGCAAUCAUGGAGCCUAAUGAGUGAUGAAGCAUACUGGAUAAAGAAUUGUUGCCAUCUUAUGCUUUCAUUCAAUGUGGUGGACUACUUCAACAAAUCUGCUUGUAAAGUAUCCACCAUCUGGUGGUGUACUUAUCACAGCAUCCACAACUCCUUUCCAGGCUCCAUAACAAGAAGUGAUAUAUUCCGUGAAAGACAGUGUUCAUGUAACUUGCUUUGGAUCAAUCAUUUGUCCCUGUGGACACGACAGUAAUCCUUUUUCAGAUGCUUUUCCUCUAGCUCCCAAAAAGGACAUAUGGACUGGAUUAAAUGGUUCAAUCUUCGUAAAAUAAUGGAUGGUCCGGUUUGUCCCAAGGGAGAUAGCUAGUUAUGGACAACUAUUAUAUUGGCUGCUUUCUGGCAAGUAUAUUGGCAUGUCUUGUUAAUUGAUUUUAACUUCAUCUUAGGUUUAUGUUAUCCAACACGACACUUGUAUUUACAGAUGGAACUCUACUGUUAUGCUAAUUUGGAUUUUGGGCAGGUCAGCAGUUGUCCAAAGCAGGUUUUCUCAGAUGGUGCUCACGUCUGUCCAUAUGGCCUUUGGUAGUGUACUUGGACACUGGGAUCUGGGCCAGAGUAAUGUAAUAAGCUGCCAUCUCGGAAAGGCAUUAUCCAUAUUAUUCAGGUCAGUUAAAAAGCAUGUUUUUUGUCUAUAGUAGUGUUGUGCAUGGUCAUGACUCAUAAACUUAGUUAAAUGAUUCUUUGAUCUUUGAUGGAAUACCCUGCAUGAGUAGUGGCUCUUUUCUUCCAUUUGGCUUAGUAUUGAGCGUGCCCUGUAUUAUAUUGGUCGCUCUUCUUCCAAGAAGUCUUGAAAAUGUUUUAUGUUUUGUGCUCUGUAGCACUUAGAAGGCUAUUAUAACUGCUUAAAUUAUGAGACCCAGAUAUAGAACAGGCCAUCUUGACGGUUCUAUUUCACCCUCAAAUCAGACCAGUUUGCAUUUGCCCUGGGAGGAUAAAUUGGUCAAAGAAGCUAUUUUUCCUUAAAUUUGGGCCUUUCUAUUUUUUGUUUGUUUUUCUUAAUGUUGGUUUAGAACAAAAUAAUAAGUACUAGUUCCUUCAUAAACAACUAAAAAUAAUAAUAUUUCGUAUUUUUUAAGAAUAAUUUGGCAAUAAUAAUUUAAGAAGGGUGCGUGCUAAAUUGCCGAUAAGUGUAUGUAGAUAUGAAUUUGCAGCAUGAUAAAUUUUUCCCAUGAAGGCCACCAGAAAUGUUUGUUAAGGAAUUCAGUAAUGUGUUAUCUGUAAUUUAUGAGAUGAGCACGGUAUAUAUUUGUUACCUUGCAUUCUUAUACUUUAAUGUUACAUAUAUGGUUAAAAUGAAGUACAGAUACGAAUCAUGUUCUUCAGCUCCUAAAAAAUAUUAAAUUGCUCGAAUGGUUACAGAGUCACAUACCGCCAUGAACGGUAACUGUUCAUUCUUUUGGAGGUGAAAAUGGUCAUAAUUCCGAAAAUGAAAAAUUGUAAUUUGUGUCACAGGGCACCUGAGGAAAGCAUAUAUGACCGUGGGACUCUCCAUCAAGAACUUAAACAGAGAACUAUGUUUUCCUUUGGCCAUUAAAGUGAGUUCUGGUGGUACAGCCGGGCAUUUUCCUCUCUGCAGAAAUGGGAGGAAGUCGUUUGACUAGGUACUCUUAUUGAUUUAUUUACUUUGUAUAACUUCACUAUCUUCUACGCACUAUGUUUUCUUUGUUGCCAAGAUUUCACAGAUUCUUUUGCCAAUUUUAAAUUUGUUGUGCUGUGCGGAGAUGAUUCUUCACCUUUUUACUUAAAAGACCAUAUGAUUUUAUGAAAAUUCUAUGGUAUUGGACUUUACCGCUUUGCCCCUUUUCCGUUUGAAGAUGAAAUCCAAUUGCUUGCUUACUUUCAUGUUAACUAUAAGCACCGUUGCGUGGUAAUCCAGGAUUCAUCAGGGCUCACAAACCAAUGGUCGGAGGGCCCCCACAUUUGUUCUUUAGUUUGGUCUCUAAGUCUUUCUGGAAACUACUUCCUCAACAAGACAACACGAAAGCUUUGGGACAAUAAGACCGACUUUUCUACAGAAUGCCAGCAAAGGCAUGACAUCACUUUCUUGGCUCGGCCAAGGAAAGUUCCAAGAAUUGAGCGGUCUAUAGGAAACACCAAAAUCCAUGUGCAUGCAUUGAUGCAGCACAUGAUAUAUAUAAAAGCUCCAGAUCGUCCUAAUCCAUCUUCACAAGUCACAAGUGAAAGCUUGAACUAGAACCAUCUCUCUAAUUUCUAUCUGAGUUCCUUCGUGUUGUCUCCAAAAUGAAGAAAGCUGCAGAGCUAGUUUUCAUUCCUUCCCCAGGUGUUGGCCAUCUCGUGUCUGCAGUCGAGAUUGCGAAGCUCUUGGUUGCUCGAGACGACCAACUUUUCAUCACAGUGCUCACCAUGAAGCUACCUUUCGACUGCAUGCCCAAGGGUACUGUUGAUGCCUACACAGACUCCAUGUCACAACGUAUCAAGUUCGUCGAUCUCCCGGAGGAAGCCAUAGAGACUCGGGGCAUCAACCCUAACCUCUUCCUCAAGUUUUUCAUUGAGAAUCAUAAGGCCCACGUUAAAGAUGCUGUCACCAAACUCACUGAGUCAGAUCAGUCCGAUUCCAAGCCUAGGCUUGCUGGGUUUGUCGUCGACCUGUUCUGCACCUCUAUGAUAGACGUGGCCGAUGAAUUUGGGGUUCCUACGUACAUCUUCUUCACGUCCAGCGCAGGGUUUCUUGGUCUCAUGUUUCACCUCCAAACCCUUCAUGAUGAGCAGAACAAGGACUGCAUUGAGUUCAAGGACUCGGACGCUGAGUUGGUUGUGCCGAGUUUUGUCAACCCAUUGCCUGCUGGAUCAGUCUUACCUGGUGUGUUUCUGGACAAGCAUGGCGCCGCUGAAUUCAUCAACCAUGCCAGAAGGUUUAGAGAAACCAAGGGUAUUUUGGUAAACACAUUCAUUGAGCUAGAAUCGCAUGCCCUUCACUCUAUUUCUGACGAGGGCAAAACUCCACCCCUGUACCCAGUGGGACCCAUACUGAACUUGAAGAGUGACGAUAACCAUAAAGGUUCGGAGAUCUUAAAGUGGCUUGAUGAUCAGCCUCCGUCGUCUGUAGUGUUCCUCUGCUUUGGGAGCAUGGGAAGCUUUGGUGAGGACCAGGUGAGAGAGAUAGCGUGCGCGCUGGAGCACAGUGGGCUUCGGUUCUUGUGGUCCCUACGCCAGGCCCCACCAAAAGGGGUGGUUGCGUUCCCAAGUGAUUAUGCAGAUCACAAGGGGGUCUUGCCGGAAGGGUUCCUCGACCGGACGGUUGGGAUUGGCAAGGUUAUACGAUGGGCUCCACAAGUGGCCAUUUUAUCUCACCGGGCAAUCGGAGGGUUCGUAUCCCAUUGCGGGUGGAAUUCAACGCUGGAGAGUCUAUGGCAUGGUGUGCCGGUUGCCACAUGGCCAAUGUACGCGGAGCAACAACUAAAUGCCUUUCAACUGGUGAGGGAUUUGGGUUUGGCAGUGGAAAUUAAGAUGAGUUAUAGGAGGGACGAUCAAGUGGUGGUGAGUGCAGAGGAGAUAGAGAGAGGAAUAAAAGAGGUGAUGGAGCAUGAUAGUGAUCAAAGAAAGAGGGUUAAGGAGAUGAGUGAGAAGUGCAAGAAAGCCUUGAUGGACGGUGGAUCCUCACACUCUUCAUUGGGUCGUUUUAUAGAUCAGCUUUUCCUUUGACUCAUUCGGGAGUCCAAUUGGUAAUUACUAGUUAAUACGAGUUUAUGAGUAUUUUUGUACUAACUUGAAAGCAAUGGAAGAGAUGACUCUACUUUUUGUAGUGGUAUUCUAAUCUACUUCGACUUCUCGGAGGCCAAGCCAACAAGCAAUUUGUUAUUUAUCAUUUUCGUCAUAGUUUUUGUUAGUUGCUGAUUUAUUAGUUGUCUUCUUUACUAUUUAUUUUUCAGUCAACUUUCUAGCUACUUAAAGACAAGAAAUUAUAGCUAAUGAACGAGUCUAAUUCGAUAAAAAAUAAUUUUAAUUUGUAGAAUAAUGUUCUUAAUUUGAACUCCUAUGAUAUGGUGGUAGUGUGUAUGUACCACCAUAUGCUAAAAAACAAAACAAAAUAUAGGCUAAGCUUCAUGGUUGGUGCUUCUUUUUUCAUUUUGCAUUUUGCCUUUUUUUCAUUUUGCCUUUUUUUCAUUUGGAUUAGACAGGAAGGCUUUCUACGAUGAUAUUUUGUCUUGCUGUUCCCCUGAAGCUCACAGCAUCUUUCUUUCAGCUGCUAUAUGCCAAAACAAUGGUCCGGUUUAUAAUGCAAUAUUCUAGUUUACUAUGACUGGUCGGGGCCCACAAAUCAUUGGCUGGGCUUCUUAGUAAUUUUAGGCUUUGUUUGAUAUUCAUAUGUGUAUAUAUAUAGUCCUAUUUUAUUGACGAAUUUUUUAAAUAAUUUUAUUUGAUGGACACUCUUUAGGUUUUUUUACGAUUUUUUUUUCAACCAUCUAAAUAAUCUAUUUUUUAAGUCCACAUUCAUAGAUUAUCCUUGCAAAUAAUUAGACGAAUCGGAAACCAUUUCGAUAUCCAAUUGUAUCCGACAAAAUCAAUGAACAUAGUGCUUCAAGAAAGUACUAAAAUUUCAAUAACUCAAUUCAAUGGUCAAAUGAUAUAGGAUUCAAGUGAUUUUUUGUAGAGAUGAUCUUUGAGUGAUUAUCUAAAAAAUAGACAGUUUGGAUUAGUAAAAUACAAUAUGGAGUGGGUCUUACAAUGGUGUUCCUCAAAUAAAGGAUCCCUCAAUAAAAGCUAUAUAUAUAUAUAUAUAUAUUGAAUUUUUAGAUUUCAAUUUAGGCGCAAAAUUUCAAGUUUUCAUAUUUCAAGUUGGGCUUACAAGAUUACAAUGAUGAUGAUGAUGCUGAUGGAGGCUUUGAACAACAACAACGAGGCCACGGCGCAGGAGGCUCUCGAGUUGUUGAUCGAAUUGGCCGGGACCUACCCUAGGUUUCUCAGUCGACAGAGAGAGUAGGUUGGGGAGGUGCGGAUCUGUAGGCAUUAAGUCCAGGUUGGGACGGGUCUAUGUGGGUGGGUUGAUGGUAGAUUUCUAAGGGUUGGGUGGGUUGAUGGUAGAUUUCUAAGGAUUGGUUCAAGGUCGGCAAUGAGAGAGAGAGAGAGAGAGAGAGAGAGAGAGAGAGAGAGAGAGGAAAAAAAAAGAGAAUGAGUUUUAUUUUUUUUUUAUUUUUUUUAUUUUUCACACAUCAUCCCCAAUUAAAUAUUCCUAAUUGAAUUUAUAUAUUUUUUAGGUCAAAAUCCCUAAUUAAAUUUAGGGAGCUUUCAUUUUAAGACAUUAUAUAGUUUACGAAUUUGGAAGAUAUGAAUAUAAUUUUACCUAAUUAGCAUAAGGCCAAAGAUAAAAAAGUAAUACCUACUUUUACCAAAAUAGAAUCAAAGAACAUUAAAAUCAUAACAUAUGUCAUUAUGCCAUUAUUAUCAAAUUUUAGUAUUUAGUUUUAAACCAAAACUUACAGCUGUCAAAACGAUAUCAAAAGACCCAAAACUUAACCAGAAACGACAGGCACUCAAAUUGAAUCAUAACCCCUUUGCGCGACCUUUCGUCUUCAACUCUAGAAACCGCUUCAACAAUUCCACAAAAUUCCCCAAAAUCUCAGACGAUCGUUUGCACCAACAACGUCAAAUAACGAUCGAAGCCAAUUCUUCAUUCUCUCUUUCAACAACAAAAAGGGUAAGGAAAUCAACGCUCUAGUACCUACUCUUCAUUCUUCGUUGUGCAAUGUGAUUUAGGUUUUGGUUUCAAAACCUCUAAAAACUAAAAAAUCACCAGAGAAAGAGAAAGAGAAAGAGCUUGCGAGAGGAACUUUUUUUUGCAUUGCAGAAAAUGAAAACUGCACAGUUUAGUUUGUAGUUCUUUAGGGUUUAGACUUUCCUAAUCGUUCCAUUUGGCAAUGAGACGAAGCUUGCGAGCGGAACUCUUUUUGGCAUCAUUUGCAAUGAGAGAAGAGAGCAUAUAACUGUUUUCUACAUAGCAAAAAACAUAAACUGCAGUGUAGUUUUUGGUUUAUUUGUAGUUCUUGUUUAACUAUGCUGAUCUUUCCAUUUCAUGUCAACUUGAUGUACAUUUUCUUUUUAUAUUUUGUGUUUGAAUUGCUCCUAUUAUAUUUCUAUUAUGUUUGACAUUUUGCGUUUUGGAUUGCUCUUUUUAAAAGAGGAAUAGCAUCAAAUAUUUCUGUUUUUUGCAUUUGCAAAAAAUGGAAACUGCAUUGUAGUUUCCGUAAAUGUAAUGCAGUUUGUAUUAAUGCAAUGCAAUGAACUACAACCUGCAUUACAGAUAACGGAAACUGCAUUGCAGUUUCUAUGAAUGCAAUGCAGUUUGAAUUAAUGCAAUGCAGUGAACUACAAUGCAGUUUCCAUUUUUUGCAAUGCAGAAAACAGAAAUAUUUGAUGCUAUUCCUUUGUAGUUCACUGCAUUGCAUUAACUAAAAUUGCAUUGUAGAUCACACGCAAUGCAGUGACUCAAAUUCUAAGACUGCCAAACGAAGGAAUAUCUGUUAAACUUGGUAAUGAUCGAUACACUGCUCCCUUCAGAACAAGGUACUUUGGAGAAAAGGGAAAACUAUCAAAAGCCAUGGUAGAAGCAGAAUUACAAAACACAAUUGCCUUGGCAAACCAACCGAAGAAAGAAAAGGCCAAGGCAAAUCAAAAGAAGAAAACAAAUAAAGGAGAAGAAAAGAAAUAAGCUGAAGAAGAAGAAGUUGACCACGACAAGGAUGUAGUCAGCCUAAUCUUGAUUUUGCUCUGCAUGACAUUCCUCUUUGCCAACUCUUCAUCCACUUUCCACUGGAAAAUAUUUGAGCACUGUGUGAAUCUAGACACACUUUUAAGCUAUUCGUGGGCAAGAGCUGUUUGAGCCUAUAUGAAUGAAUCAUUGAUCACAAAAGCAAAAGCAAAGAAGGGAGGAGAAGCCUUUAUAGGAGUUGUUUCGGGUUGCACUAUCCUAAUAUUGGUAAGUAAACAGUGGCUUAUGCAAUGCAUUUUGAGUUUUAGGUAAUGCAUUUUCCAUUUAGUGCAAUGCAGUUUCUGUUUUAUCCUAUGCAGUUCCCAACCUAAUUUAUGAUAUAUCUUGUUUUUGAAUUGUGCAGUUUCUACUGUGUGAGAGGACAAACAUCAGACAACCAAUCCUUGACAAGGAGAAAGAAACUCCUGCCAUUCUUAAAUGGGGUCUUGUGGAACUCCACACAAAAUUCAACCAAAUAAAGGACUUGAAUGACAUCGAGGUAUGCAAUAUAUUGGAUAUUUUAUUUUAAUGUAUCUUGAAUGUGAAUCCAUGCUAAAUCAUUCUCAUUGUACAUGGUAUUUUCAAAACUCCUAAUAAAUGAAAAACUACCAAGGAAGAGGGAGACCCUGUUGAGAAGGUAAUUAAAAUAUGUAUACACUGUAUUGCAGUUUAUAUUUUCUACAUUGCAGAAACAAAAAUUGCACUGCAGUAUCAGUUUCCUGCAAUGCAGUUUGCAUUUUAUCCAAUGCAGUUUCUAAAUCAUUCUCAUUGUACAGGGUAUUUUGAAAACAUAUAAAAAGAGAAAAAACUAACAGAGAAGAGGGAGACCCUCUUGACAAGGUAAUAAGAAUCUCUAAAUAGUGAAUUAUGCAUUGCAGUUUCCGUUUCUUGCAAUGCAGUUUUUGUUUUCUCCAAUGCAGUUUCUAAUUAGUUUCCGUUCAAUAUGCAAAAAAUGAAGAUGAUGAAGGAGAAUAAGGAGAAGCAGAAGAAGU